UCACACUGGUGGCAUGCCAUGCUGCUCUACCACCUCAACUUUACUGGAACUCUGUCUUGCCAAACUCAAAAAUGCCAAAAGCUAUCAGUGAACUUCUCCAGCCUGCAGGUUAGUAUUAGAGUCUCAGAGAAGCUCAGAUAUUGUGUAUUCCUUAGACAAUAAUUCUAUUUAGACAUACACAAUUAAGAUCACUACUGACACACUCUCUAAUACAGGCGAGUCUAACCAUCGUAUAUAUGUAAAAUGUACAUGUAUUAGAGAGUACAUGUCAAGAAAUGCGUUAUAUAUUCUCUAAAAGUGAUAUAAUCCAUUUGUAAUAGCAACAAUUUAGUAUUAUAAAAGUUGAAGGGAUGGAAUAGCUUAAAUGUUCUCAUUGAUCAAAAUUGGAUUGUGGUCUUGGUAUGUAUAUACACUUAUUUUCUUACAUGUAUGUCACUAAAAGCCACAAUAUAAUAAGUCAAUUUCAAAACAAUCGGUCAACUUUUUAUAAACUUUGCUCCUAGUAUAGUUGACUGAAAUUUCUAAAGCCAUGUCGUUCGUUGAUGCGUUCCUGAUACCUUCAAUAAAUUGACUUCACAAUUGUGCAAAUGUGCCGAUAAACUUUAUGACACUUUUAGCUAUACAAUCUUAUGUUGUUAGAAAAUAUAAUUUGACUUCACAAUUAUGAAUGUGCUGAUAAAUUUGACUUCACUUUUAGUUUUAGAUAUAUGACCUCAACGGCGAAUUCCCAUAUUUUCUAUAUAUGAUCCGAAUAUUCUCACAAAUUUUAGCUUAACAAUUUUGAUGUUCUACCUCUUCUCACCUGUUCUCCAUUAUGUUUGCUAAAAUUUGCAGAUUUCACAGAGGAUAAGAGCACCUCUGUUGUAGUAGGAAAGGGUGGUGUCAACGUUGAUGCAGGAAAAGGAAAGCCCGGAGGCACCCAUGUCGAUGUUGGGAAGGGUACUGGAGUGCAUGUGGAAGCCGGAAAAGGAAAGCCAGGCGGUGGCACUAACGUGAACGUAGGAGGCAAAGGCGGUACUGGGGUGAACACCGGGAAGGGAACCAACGUUGGUGUUGGCAAAGGAGGAGUGUCCGUAAACACAGGGCACAAGGGAAAGCCCGUGUAUGUUGGAGUAAAACCAGGACCAGACCCUUUUAACUACCAGUAUGCAGCCACCGAAACCCAACUCCAUCAAGACCCAAACGUUGCUAUUUUCUUCUUGGAGAAAGACAUGCGUCCUGGAACAACAAUGAACUUGCACUUCACCACAAAUUCAAACACGCAAACUUUUGUGCCGCGCGAAACUGCGGAAUCCAUCCCAUUUUCGUCCAACAAGCUGCCAGAAAUCUUCAACCAAUUUUCAGUGAAAUCGGGUUCCGUGGAAGCGGAUAUAAUCAAGGGUACAAUUCAAGAGUGUGAGAAUCCAGCCAUUAGAGGAGAGGAGAAAUAUUGUGCUACCUCUUUGGAGUCCAUGAUUGACUUUAGCACUUCUAAGCUUGGAGGAGGAAAUGUUCGAGCAAUUUCGACAGAAGCCGGAAAAGGAGCUACAUUGCAGAAGUACACAAUAACUUCUGGAGUGAAGAAGUUGGCGGCGGAUAAGUCGGUCGUGUGUCACAAGCAGAACUAUCCCUAUGCUGUCUUUUACUGCCAUGCAACAAAAACAACAAGAGCUUAUGUGGUGCCCCUGAAAGGUGCUGAUGGGGUGAAUGUUAAAGCAGUAGCAGUCUGCCAUACAGACACAUCGGAGUGGAACCCUAAUCAUUUGGCCUUCCAAGUUCUCAAAGUUAAGCCGGGAACUGUUCCGGUCUGCCAUUUCCUUCCCAGUGAUCAUGUUGUCUGGGUUCCAAACCAGAAAUCUACCUGAUUUGACUGAUCAACCCUUGAGUUCUACGUAUGAUGAUGUGAUCAGCUCAAUCAGCAUAGUUUGAGUGGCAAGAGUUUGAAAUUAAAUCGACCGUCGAUUACUUCUUAUUGUCACUAUGUAUUUCAGCCUAUAUAUAUACUCAUAAAUGAAAGCAUACUAUCGUGUGGACUUGUACCAAAAAGCAUGCUAGUGGACAUGCUCUACUACAUUCAGUAAUAGUUAUAUAUGCUUUGAUUCUGUGGUGCCAUCUGUCCACUGGUUCAGUUUUAAAUUGUCGUGCUAUUAUAUGCAUGAUACACGGGUUUCAUCUCCUUUGUCUUAGGAGAGGGAGGGAGUUGAGUACGUUGCAUGUCGAUAAUUAACAAAUUUUGUAUAUACUUAUAAGGAAGUGGAACCUUAAUUUCUUUUACGAUCUAAUCAAAGCAGUUACCCAGGGACUGCCAAGAAGCUAAAAUCCCAAACCAAGGAGGGCACCAGAUAACAAAGGGAAGUUUCAUUUGUACAAAUAAAAAUCCACAAAAAAAUCUCGCCACAAAAGUACAAAUUCAAAAAAAAAAUCAGGCCACUAUUGCAUGCUUCAAAAUUAAAGAAAAUUUCAGGCCACUGCAUGCUCUUGCUUUCCGGGUUUUCCCCACAAAGUUUUCUGUUGACAGGUAGGCCGACAAAAAUAUGAGCGCUUCACACCAGGCAAUGGCAAGGGCUGCAUGUUUUACACCUAAUCCCAACAAAUUUGGUAGUUCACCUUCUUACUUCCCCAUAAAUAUUGAACCCAUAUGCUACUGUUUACCAUAUCUCUCUGAGUUUUCAUGUUUCAUCCAGUAAUUUUCGUUUGUGUUGCAAAAGUUGAGUCUUAAUGGGGUUCCUUCUCUCCAGAAUCUUUGCUUUUCUAACUGUAAGUAAGAGCUGUAAUUUUGAAUCCUCCCUGUUACUAUAGUUAAUUUGAUUGAUCUUAUGUUUUUGCUAAUUUUAUUUUCUUUCUCUCUUACUAAUUGUGCGAGUUUAAUUUCAGCUCACACUGGUGGGUGUCCAUGCUGCUUUACCUUUGUCACCUCAGCUUUACUGGAAUUCCGUCCAGCCAAACUCACCAAUGCCGAAGAUAUCAGUCAACUAGUCCAGACUGGUUAGUAUCUAUGUACAACCUCAGAUUGGCUUCAAAAACUCAUUUCCACAACCAAUCGUCCUUGUGAUUUACACAUGUUUUCACUUUUGCACAAGAAGAAAAAGAGGCAACAACCGCGGAACAAGUUUGGCUGUUGUUACUAGCCUAGCGAUUGCUAAAUACGUGACAAAAAGUUAAAAAAGCGCACCAAAAAGUAAAAAAUUAUGACAUACUGUUUGUCACGCUUCUAGGAAUAGCUACACUAGAAAUAGCACCCUGGCUCCAUAGCUAUUUAUGUUGGUAAAUCCGCAGACUUCAUUACUGUUGGCAAAGGGGGAGUUAUUGUUCAUAACCAAGUUGCAGAUGUUGCAACUAACGUUCAAUAUCUUUACCGGGAUGAUUCAACUGAAGGCAAGAUGCAGAUCAAAAAGUAAAGACAUAAAGAUGCUGCUGAAAAUCCAACACUUGAAGACCCAACUCGAGUAAUUUUCUUCUUGGAGAAGGACAUUCAUCCUGGCACAACAGUGAAUUAUCACUUAUCCGGAAAUUCAACCAGAGAAACUUUCCUGUCCCGCAAGACUGCAGAGUCCAUCCCCUUCGGCUCAAGCAAAUUGGCAGAAAUUCUUAACCGAUUUUCAGUGAAACCGGGGUCUUUGGAAGCCGACAUAAUGAAAGAAACCAUCCAAUAUUGUGAAGGGGUGGCCAUGAGAGCCGAAGAAAAAUAUUGUGGUACCUCUCUAGAGUCGAUGAUUGACUUCACCACCUCCAAGCUUUGAAGAAAUAAUAUUAAAGCAAUCACGACGGAGGUGGAAAAAGGAGCUGCCCCGCUGCAGAAUUACACAAUAACCCCUGGAGUGAAAAAGCUGGCAGGCAACAAACUUAUUGUGUGCCAUAAGAUGAUCUAUCCAUAUGCCGUUUUCUACUGCCAUGCAAUUGAAAAAACAAGGACUUUUAUUGUGCCUCUCAAAGGCGCUGACGGGACGAAUGCUAAAGCAGUAGCAGCCUGCCAUGAAGACACAUCUGAAUGGAGCCCAAAACAUUUUGCCUUCAAAGAGCUCAAUUUUGAGCCAGGAACAACUGAAUCCCAUUUGCCAUUUUCUUAAAAACGAGAAUGUUGGUUGGGUUUCAAAACAAAAACCUACAUGAGUUGAAUCCGCCGCUCGGGUCCUCUACUUGAUUAUGUAGCCCAUCAAUAGGAGUAAUUAGCCCGCUCCAUUAAUAAAAACAAUCGCAUGAGACAGAUGAGCUGUUUAUGUCUGAGACUGCGUACUCACUUCAUAACAUAUUCUUAUUACUCAUUAGCAACGCAAAAUUCCCUCUUGUAAUAGAGACGAAAAAAGUACCACCCCCCCCCCCCUUCCCAAAAUAAAAGCAAAGAAAAAAAAUAGAUGAGUAUAUUUUAUUGUAUCUCUUAAUCUUAUCCUACCUCCCAUAUCAAUAAUUUGAAUGAAAAAAAUAAGAGUAAUGCUAAAGAAACUAAAUUUGAAGAUUAAAAUUGCAAACUAAAUGAUGUAUUACUAAUAGAAAUAAGCACGUCUUUUAAGACUUAAGUAAUAAACCAAUCAUCAAUUUCCAUGUUCUUUAGUUUUCAAAAUUUAGUCUCCAAAUUGAGACUCCCUAGCAUUACUCAAAAAAAAAAAAAAAAUAUCAAUGAAUAUGGAAAAAAAUAUAUAUAAAACGGUUGAUCUCUAUUAAACCUGCUAAUGACCCGAAGCAUAAAGUACUUGCUACCGGUGAAAUAAACACUCGCAUUACUCAAAAAUUAAUAAUAUCAAUGAAUAUGGAAAAAAAAUAUAUAAAACGAUUGAUCUCUAUUAAACAUGCUAAUGACCCGAAGCAUAAAGUACUUGCUACCGGUGCAAUAAACACUCGCAUUUGAAGAACUCCUCUAUUGUAUUUGUAAUACAUAAUGGUAAUAUGUAUAUGAUCAGAUUUGUUUAUGCAUAGUUACCCUACUUCCUCUUGUGGAACUCCAGGUUGAGGAGUUAGGAGAUCUACAAGUUUGCUAAAGUGAACCACUCUAUCACACUGAGGAUUUGUUUGAUAAUGAUUUUGUUUGCAAUCUGGGAGAAGUAGUUACAAAUCUGCUAAAGUGAACCACAACAGUCAAUCACAUGACUAAGGGUUUGUGUGAUAAUCGUUUCGCUUUUUUGUAGUUUUCGCCUUUAGUGCUUGCUAUAUGGGAAAAAAAAAAAAAUAUAUAUAUAUAUAUAUAUAUGGAAAGAAAGAAGGAUGAAGGAAAAAUGGUAUAGUGAAUGUAGAUGAAAUAUACAAGGAAUGAUACACACUAAAAACAAAAAAUUUUAAGUUAUUUUCAUCUUCAAAAUUAUGUUUUCAUUCGUUGUUCUCUAUUUUUGAAUCACAAGUUUGAGUGACCAAAAUAGCCUAAGGGUAUAAAUGACAUUCGCAAAAUAUAGGAUGACUCAUCAUCACUCGGUAAGAAGUUGGUUAGUUGGAUCAAAGGUUAAUGUACCUUAGUUGAUAAGCAAAAUCACGAAGACUAAACUUAAUAAUUGAAACAUAAAUGGUCUUAUUUCUAAUUAUGUGCAAAAUGACUUUUUUAGAGGCGUUGUUUUUCUUUUUUGGACAAAGGUAAUUUUCAUUACCAAAAGAGCACAAUUACAGACAAAGAGGCCCAAAUACAUUGUAAACACAAAACAAAAAGUGAACCCCCAACACUAAACAAAAGCUCAACCCGAGAGAAGGGCCCAAAACAGAAAACCUUACAAGACUAACUUCCUCCGUCGUCGUCAAAGAACCGGCAGCCGACCACAAUCCAACAACCUAGGCCAAAGAUCUCACCAAACACAGCGCCAAAGAAGAAGGCUCCAUCUUCCUCCACCAAACACCACACAAAUUGAAACCGCAACCACCAAAGAAAGAAGCCAGAAGGAAAGAACUUUCCCCUAGCAAAAAAAGCCGAAAACGGCAUACAAUUGGAAGGUGGUGGUGUGUACACCAUAUGAGCAGAAGCUCUGCACACCUUCCUAGAAAACCUCGAAACACAGGUGGAAGAGAUGGUUGCAGAAUUGAACAUGUGUGAGAAUGAUGUAGGACAGAAGCAAAUGGAAAAGUAAAAAAAUGGCUGGAUUAGAGUCAUGGAGGUGGAAAAACUUGAGAGAGAAGAAGAAAAAGGAAGGUUGGAAGUGGGACUGUCAGAUCAAGACUGAUGAAAGGUUAGAGCGGAGGUUGCAUGGGGAUUACCAAAAAAGACGGCCAGAAAAACAUGGAGAAAGCCAAUCUCAUAGCUCGAUGUAUCCAGGACUCAAUCUACUAGUCACUCCAUUAAUGUUGAAUUAAAUACUCCAAUUUAUUUCCACACAAAGAAACAAAUCAGAAACGUAAGAAAAAAUUAAGACCACCGCAUGCUCUGCAUUUUCGGUUUCAUCUGGUAUGGAUUAUUGGAUUUUACUGAUAGAUCCAUGUUUUAAUUUGUGAAAUGUUAAGGAGAUUCUCUCAAAGUGACAUUUUUCAUGGACUUUCUGCCUCCUCAUGGUUUUGACACUAUUUUAUAAUGUUGGCACGAAAAUUUUGCUAAAAACACUAAAUGACGUAGAAUCCACGAAUAGUCUUACUUUUGAGAGAAUUUCCUUACUAUUUCUAAUUGAAUUUGAUUCAAAGUUGGGAAUAAAUGUGGAACAUCACACUAGGCAGUGGAAAGGGGCACAUGUUACACCUUAUUGAUGCACAAAACCGGAGGUCUUGGAACAACGUAAAUCCGAUCGUGAAUCUGCAUGAAAUGUAAAUAACACAAGAUGUAUCGUGGUUCAUCCCAAGGUUUGGGCUACGUCCACACUGAUUAUGUAUUUAUCUGAGAGGUGAGGGAAAGAACCUCUGAAUAUGAUAAGGGACGUGAGAGGGGUGAGAAGGCUUAAGAAAUGGCAUCCCCCAAUUGUGAGGGUGAUGGGUCCUUUUAUAGAAUAAUGACUCCUCACUUAUUACAUAUUUGCCAUUUCCUUUAUCACAUAAUUGCAUUUAAGUCCCCCGAGUAUUUGUACAAGAUCUAAAUACGAGGCCCUAAAUAUGGUAUAAACAGUAGUCCCCCAAGUCUUCGGUCAAUAGAGUCUUUUGGCUGGAGACUUGAAAUUCAGUUCAUGUGUGGGCCGAAGUAACUAGAUGUUGUCUUGAACUGAUGCUCGAUAUGAGGCGGUGCUCCAUCUGAAAUGAUGCUCUACUAGAAGUAGCACAUGCUGCAAGGUUGCUCGGCUCGUGGCUUAUGUUGCCUUGGUUGGCUCGGCUUGUGGCGUUGGGAGGUGAGGGAGUCCAUUUUAUAAAAUAAGGGUUCGCUCCUCAAUACAUAAAUGAUGGGCUAGAGUUGAUACUCGCGGCGAGGUGGUUGCUCAAUAGGCGGCGAUACUCUCUAAUGGUGGUAAGGGAGUCCCUUUUAUAGAAUAAGGGCUCGCUCCUCAAUACAUAAGUGAUGGGUUAGGAGUGAUGCUGGCGGCGUUGCUCUCUAAUGAAGGUGAGGGAGUCCCUUUUAUAAAAUAAGAGCUCGCUUCUCAGUACAUGAAUAAUGGGUGAUCUCUAAUGAAAGUGAGGGAGUCCCUUUUAUAGAAUAAGAGUUCGCUCCUUAAUACAUAAAUAAUGGGCUAAGUCCCCCAAGUAUUUUUCAUGAGGCCCAGUUGAGGCCCAAUAUAUGGUACAUAGUGUAGUUCCCCAAGUCUUCGUUCAAUAGAGUCUGUUGGCUGGAGACUUCAAACUAAAUCCAUAUAUGGGCCAAAAUGGCGGUUGUUCGGAUAUGGUAUUUGUAUACCUUGCACUGAAGCUUUGUAGGUGAAACUUUGCAAACUAGAGCUCUGUAAAUGAAGUUUUUAAAGCUAAUUGACAUAAGUGAUGUUCAUGAAUGUUUAUGUUGAUUGACAUGAGUGAUGCUCAUGGAUGUUGUCAUGAGUGAUGCUCAUGAAUGUUAACAUGAGUGAUGCUCAUAAAUGUUGACAUGAAUGAUGGUCAUGAAUGUUUAUGUAUGAUUGUUAUGAGUGAUGCUCAUGAAUGUUUAUGUAUGAAUGACAUGAGUAAUGCUCAUGUAUAAUUUGGAAUACUAGGCGUACUUUUGAUCACCUGGUUGGUGGCAUGAAGGAGAGUACGAGUUGUAUAUUUCAUCACCUGGUUGGUGGCAUGAAGGAGAGUACAUAUUGUAUAUUUCAUCACCUGGUUGGUGGCAUGAAUGGCUAGUUGCCAAAAUGAUAUUAGAGUACGGGUUCUACAUUUUAUCACCUGGUUGGUGGUAAUAGCGGCAGGUUGCCGAAUAAUUGUGGAGUACUGGGCGUACUUUUGGUCACCUGGUUGGUGGUAAUAGCGGCAGGUUGCCAAAUAAUUGUGGAGUAUUGGGCGUACUUUUGGUCACCUGGUUGGUGGUAAUAGCGGCAAGUUGCCGAAUAAUUGUGGAGUACUAGGCGUACUUUUGAUCACCUGGUUUGUGGUAAUAGUAGCAGGUUGCCGAAUAAUUUUGGAGUACUGGGCGUACUUUUGAUCACCUGGUUGAAGCUAUUUUGGGCUUAUGGGCAUUCGCCCUCCACAACAUGCCAGCCCAUUUAUUUUGGGCUUUUCCGGUUUUUUUUUUUUUUUACCCUCUGAUGGGGUUUAUACAAAUGUCUCUAAAAGAUAAGAAAAAUAAAUUACAUCAUACAUCUGUCAAAAAAGUAAAUCACAUCAUUAUGGGGGGUGUUUAUUCCUUACUUUUGCUUUCUCUGAAAUAUUCUCCCAACGACAUGAUCUUUUUUCUUUUUCUUUUUUGUUCCUUUACCCUGAUCUCUCCACCUCCAGGCACACUCACUUGCUUUUGCUUUCGUUUUUUGAUUUGAUUUUCCUUUUCUGAUCAAGUACCUGACAGCUUGGAAUAUAUUGUAAUCAAGUGACCAGAGAGUAGGACUAGUGGAUACCUCUCUUCUGUUUUUCUUUUCCUUUUGGCAUAAGGUAGACAAAAGUAAUAGUAGUAGACUUAUUAUUGAGAAAGCUUAUCUUCUUCAUGAGUGUCUCCACUGGUGGAUGAGAGGUAGCCUAUGUAAAAGUCUUCUUCUUGGCAAGAUCGCUAGAAGCGCCAGAAGCUUUUGUGGAAGAAUUAGAUGUAGCAGGCUGCGAAAGAAAUAAAUGCAGCAGGCUGCUGUGAGCUCUUAAGCUGCGGGUUGGCGAUAGCAUGGCUGCUACCACCACUUGAAUACGAAAGAGUAAGAUCCAUCUGAACGAAAUUCGCUCAUACCCAAGGCUUCAACAACUCCACUCUUAUCAUCCAUUGAAUUUCGAAGAAGACAAAGCAAAGACUCCCACAUAUUUCUAUUAAGAGAAUCCCCAACAAAAACUAGUCGCUUUCCUCUCAAUAGUCCCAACAUGUUCUUACCAUCUAACCUUGGAAGAUUGCAAUGUUUGAGUUGCCAUCUAUACUUUUCGUAGCAAUUAUCCGGCCUCUUAUUAAGAAAACAAUUGAAGGAUUCAUCAAUAAAAGGAUAAGAACCCGGAGCAUAAAGCGGAUACGAAUCAUCUCUCACCCACAUUCCAUCAAACAUGUCACAAUCAUCCCUCGAAAAUUCAUAACCGGGCUAAGUUUGAUUACUCUGCUUCUUAGAUUCAGACAAUGCCUCACUAGCAUCAUCACUCUCUAUCGAGGUCAAUGCCACUGCUUGCCCCAAAACCCCAUCAGAAUCUUUAGCAAAAGAUUCAUUUUUUCUUGAACCCUCCAGUUUCUCGGAAAAUCCCAUUUUCCCAGUUACUUGAAUCGUAGUGUUCUGGGACGAAGUCUGAUUGGAUUCUUAGGGUAAGAAAAGAAUUGCGUUUGGCAGUUGGGCACUAGCCAUAUCAGACUGCAAACCUCCACUCUCAUCUAAACGUAGGAAAUAUUCAGCUUUCCAGGAAAAUGGGUUUCCCGGGAAAGUUCAAAAGGGGUUUUGAAGAUGUUCUUGAAGCCAAAAGGGAAAGAGUAGCCAAAUGGGUUGAAAACCAGGAAGAAAGUUCAAGCGAUGCAGACGAACGAGAAGCCAUAGGCAAAGGCAGCGGUUUUUCUGGAGGGGAAGAAAAUUGGGGAAGAAAGAGAGGGUUUGGAGAAGGCCUCUGGUCUUGGGAUUGUGGGGGAAUGCUGGUGCUUUGUGGGUUUUGGGGUUGUCUGGGUUUUUGUGAUUUUGCAGAUUCACAGUGGUGAGAUUUGAUGAAAAAAUGAAAGAGAACUGACAUAGUUUUUAUGUCGUUUCCCACAGACGGCACCAAAUGUUGAUGCACAAAACCAGAGGUCUUGGAACAACAUAAAUCCGAUCGUGAAUCUGCAUGAAAUGUAAAUAACACGAGAUGUAUCGUGGUUCACCCCAAGAUUUGGGCUACAUCCACACUGAUUAUGUAUUUAUCUGAGAGGUGAGGGAGAGAACCUCUGAAUAUGAGAGGGGAUGUGAGAGGGGUGAGAAGGCUUAAGAAAUGGCCUCCCCUAAUUGUAAGGGUGAUGGGUCCUUUUAUAGAAUAAGGACUCCUCACUCAUUACAUAUUUGCCCAUUCCUUUAUCACAUAAUUACAUUUAAGUCCCCUGAGUAUUUGUACGAGAUCUAAAUACGAGGCCCUAAAUAUGGUAUAAACACACUUAAUCCCAACAAAUUUGGCACUUUAGUUGACUUCUUCUAUAAAACUUGAACCAUUCUCCUAUUGUUCACCACAAAACCUGAGUUUUCUUGUUUCAUCAUUUUCAAUAGGGUUCCUUCCCUUGAGAAUCUUUGCAUUUUUUACUGUGAGUAAACUGUGUAAAAUUUGAAUUUUCCCAAUAUAUUUGGCUUCGGUCAGGUGAUGUAGUGGCUUUGGUCGAUUAUGAUAACACUACUAAAAACAUUAUAUAUGAUAUAUGUUUUAUGAAAGGUUUUAUGGCAUGAUAGGUUUUCGGAAAACCUAUUACAUUUUUAGUCAAAAUGGUCCCUGAGAUUUGCAUGACACAUCACUUUGAUCCUGGAGAUUGAAAAUCAAUAGAAAUGGUCCCUGAGAUUGUCUACCAUCCAUUAUUUUGGUCAUUCCGUUAAAAACUUCAUUAAGUGUUCUGGAGCUCUUGGCCGAAAGUUUGGACAAUUUUCAAAGUUUCGUAACUUAAUCGUUUAUUAACCAAAUUCAAACCAUGAUACAUCAAAAUGAAGAUAGGAACGUUGAGAAAAAUAUUAUACCUAUUUAGAAGCCCAAUGGUUGUCGUAGAUGGCCGAAAAAUAGCCUGAAAGGUGACUGGUCCACCGGAAAACUGAAAAACUCGUUGGAAACUGGGUAAACUUUAAACGUUCAUAACUUCUUCAAAACUCAACAAAAUCGAGUGAUUCAAAAACAAAAAUCAUACUUCUCGACAAGAAAAAUAGAAUGAUACCUUUCUUGAUGGCUAAAUCAUCGUGCUUUGGCUGAAAAACGGCCCGAAAAUUAUUGUCUUGGUCUCGAGUUAGCCACUUUUAGGCCGUUUACGGACCAAACCACGACGAAUUAGUUAUCGAGAAAGGUACCAUUCUCUUUGUCUCAUCAAUAAUUAUGAUUUUUGUUUUUGAAUCACUCGAUUUCGUUAAAUAUUGAAGAAGUUAUGAACGUUUAAAAUUUACCUAGUUUCCAAUGAGUUUUCCAGUUUUCCUAGGGACCAUUCACAUUUCAAGCUAUUUUCCGGCCAUCUCGGUAACCAUUGGGCUUCCAAAUAGGUAUAAUCUUGUUCUACACUUUCCUAUCUUCAUUUUGAUACAUUAUGGGUCGAAUUUGGUUAAGAAACGAUUUAGUUACGAAGUUUUGAAAAUUGCCCAAACUUCUGGCCAAGAGUUCUGAGACACUUAACGGAGUUUUUAACGGAAUGACCAAAAUAAUGGAUGGUGGACAAUCUCAGGGACCAUUUCUAUUGAUUUUCAAUAUCAGAGACCAUUUUAACUAAAAAACCUACAUAUUAUUACUAUUGAGUUUUCAUAAACUUUGGGGGUUAGUACGUUGAUGAAUAACUGUUUCUGUAUUACUUAUAUAUCAACUUGGUCCACUCAUGUUUUGUUUUGUGCCCCCUCAAGAUUUAGAAUCGAGGCAUACAAUCCUGACGUUAGGGUACUCCCGCAUCGGCAUCUUUAAGUCCUCUCGGUGUAGGACCCAUCCCUUUGUUCAUUCAAUUUUAUAUUAUUCCUUUGUAGUGUCUUGGGUUAGUUAUAUGCUCUGAAUACGUUCCACAAUUGCAUAUUCAUUAUAAUUAAAUUUACAACUUUUAUUUAUGUCAGUUAUUUGUUUUUAGUUCUCAUGCAUCCUUUUAUGGUUUCGUCACCUUCGAGUGUCGGCCAGUACGUGUCUACCCCGAUGUUUGGAGGAUAUCAGGGUCGGGCGUGUCACAUAGGUACAUAAGUAUCGGUUCAUAAGUUUUGGUAACAAUAUAUCGAUACAUAACUUUUAAAACGAAUGUAUCUGUACAAAUGUAUCGGUACGUAACUAUAGUAUUUAAACAUACAUAUGUACGUAAUAUGCAUAUACAUAUAUAUGGAGAAAUUCACGCACAAUAAAAAAAUAUAUGAUAAUAUAUGACUUCUUUUAUUAUGGAAACUUAACAAUAACCAUCAAUGAUAAAUAACAUUUUUAUUAUUUAUGGGAAUCAAUAUAUAACCUACAAACAAAAAAGUCAAUAAUUACUACAACCUAUUUAAUAUUAAAAAAUUAUAAUUAAAUGCCAAGGAUUAGAAUGAUUUUUUAACAAAAUUUAAUGAAAAUGAUUUGAAAAUUUUGAGUUUUACCGAUAAGGACAAAAUAAAGGGUAAAGUGAAUAAUACCAUGAUUGAUUUUUUGGUGUAAAAAUAUGAUUUUUCGUUAAAGUGAAUAGUAUCAUGAGUUUUUUUUGUUAAAGUUACCUAGUUUUUAAUCUUAGACAAGAUUUUAUUCAAAAAGUAAUCUUAGACAAGAUUUUAUUCAAAAAGUAAUCUUAGACAAUGAUUAGAAUAUAAUUUUAAUUUUUUUUUAACAAUCUACUGUGAGAGACAGAGAGAGUAGGCUAAGACUAUAAGAGCUAGUAAUAAUGUAGUUCAAAUUUACUUUUAUAAAAAAUCAAACCUAAAAUUUAUCAUUUAUAAGUGAAAAAAAUAUCACUAAUUGUAGUAUUUAUCUUUUAAACAUUAUACACAUAGGUAACUAUGUACUUUUCCCGUGUGAUACACCAUUGGAAGUGCUUUUCGGAACAGCGUGCAUGUCGCUUUUGAGAUAAGAUCUUGUCCAAAUGUCCAUGGCUUCGUGACAGCUGUGAGAAAGUGACGAUCAACCUACAUGCAAGUUGCUUGAGGGAGCACAAGUGCUCUGCCAACUUUGAGUAACUGACGAUCACAUACGGAAAAUGAUUCCGGAUCAUUUUCUUAGGAAUUCUGUAAUCGUAUAUUAUGUGAUCAGAAAUUAUUUAAAAUUUAAAAUUUAAAAUUCAAAUAUAAAUAGUACAUAACGAAAACUAACUUCAUGAUAUAUGAUGAACAAACAUAAUUACUAUGUAUGAUGAACGAACAUAAUUACUAAAUCCCUUGGAAAAUGAUCAGCCGAGGAUCAUUUUUCCGUCACAUACAUGCAUGUUGGCAGAGCACUUUGAAUUGGGGCCCUAAAUAAGUCUUCGAAUUGGCUCUAAAGUAGUAAAAUGUACUGACACGUGGCGCUUUAUACAUUAAUAUGUAGAAAAAAUUCUGCUAAAUACAUGAAAAAUAUAUGGGUAAAUUACAAAAAAACUACCAUAAUUAUUGAUUUUACGACAUUUUUAUACCUCAUGUCAGAGCUCUGUCAGUUUUUCUGUUACUUUUCUUGUUAAAUGCUGACGUGAACCUCGGCGUCAAUCACAAGAGACUGAAACCGUUUGUAGGGUUUGUAUGGACGACAACGACAAGGAGGCUUGAGCUCACGGCGUCAAUCAUAAGUGUCUUGAGAUUUCAAAAUUGGGGAAAACAGAGAAAAUGAGAUGGAUUAGGAUCUGCAGGUACAUUAGUCGAUCAUCCCCUCUCCAAAGCAUUUCCGGCGACCUGCCAACGGGGACCAGCGGAGUGGCAGCGAUUGAAUAGAAGGACGACGAUGGCGGUGAAGACGGAGACGAACAGCGCGAGGCAAUUGAAGAAACGACAGAGAGUUGGCUCUGCAAUGACGCCAUUGGAGAGAGGGAAACCCUAGGAAGAGAGCUAAGAGAGGAGAAAUGUACUGGUUUUGAAUAGCCUGAUACUACAGUGAGAGGAGAGGAGACACGUGGGUGAUUGAAAGGUGCGAGGGAAGCUCGCGUGUGUUUGAGAUUAGAAUUAGGACAGCUAGUUGUGCGGGAAGUUGAGGAUCGCUUUGGCGCCCCGAAGCUUGAAUGCUGCUCGAUCGUAAGCCUUGGCUGCUUCAAUCGCCGUGUCGAACUGGAUCCACUCAGUUUUGUUGGGAAGCGAGAUUAUGAGUGCUGGCUUUCGGAAUGGGUUAGCGGGUUUAGGUUGCAGGGAAGGGGAAAGAGAAGGAAUAUGGGUUUUGGAUUUGGGUUGCGGGAAAGGGGUCGGGGAAGAUAAGGUGUUUGGUUUUUUGUUUUUUGUUUUGUUUUUUUGUUUUUUUAAGGGUAAAUUAUUAUUUUUAUUAAUUUUUUAAUAAAUUGUGGAAUCCGAAUCAAGCCAUAUCAUCAUUUAACCGAGAAAUUCACAACCAACCCAAUGAAUGUAUAAUGGACCAAAUUUUAGAGAUGUGGUAUGACAUUGUCAAUUUUAAUGGAUAAAGUAUGAUAGUGUAGUGAGACGAGGUAAUUUUUUGUCAUUUACCCCAAAUAUAUUUAUGCAUCAAAUACAAUUAAAAAUUAAUAUAAAAAAAAUCAAAUACAAUUAAAAAUUAAUAUAAAAAAAAUAGAGAUAUACAAGCAACAACUACGCCUGUUCCACUACAUCAGCAUGCUUUCUAUGUCAUGUAUUUGACUUUUAUCCUAUUUAUAAGAGAAAUAAAUAUAUUAAAAAAAAUUUGGAGCCCCAAAAAAUAGGACGUCCUAGGCGGUCGCCUUACUCGGAAGAUUAUGCCGCGUAUCAAAAUAAAACUAAGACAACGUUGUCCACAAAAUAGAAACAUUGGGUUGGGUUUCAGGUCGUCUUCUUAGAAUCGCACGAGGCCCCUCUGAGUAGUGAGUACUAGUAAGCAGUAACAUACUAACAUGGAGCAAUUCAAAGGGCAGCCUCGGCUUCCGAAAUUCGCCUUGCCGAAACGGUACGACUUAAGGCUGAAGCCAGACCUCAAAGCUUGCAAAUUCAGCGGCUCCGUCGCCAUUCUCGUCGACAUCGUCUCCGAGACCCGGUUCAUCGUCCUCAACGCUGCCGAGCUCUCCGUCAAUGCCGUUUCCGUCUCUUUCACUCACACAGAUUCCUCCAAUGUGUAUUAUAUACUACUGAUCUCAUCUGAUCAUCCAUGCAAUUAACUAGGAUGCCUAAUUUGAAAGCAGACACUCCUCGAUUAAUUGUUUUAAUUUCCUUUAAGUGCUCCUGCUGUUCUGUUCAUGCUUUCAAAUAAUUAAUAACUGGAUGGAUUGAUUAUAUAAAUUCAAGUUAUGAAGCACCGAUCAAUUUAUUCAAUCCUGAAUCGAGGAAACACCAAAACACAUAUAUAUGUACUCUCCGUCUCCGAUACGACCACCCGAAACGAGAGUGUUUUUUACCCUACACAUUAAACUUUGAAGUGAGGGUUGCGUUCAGGCUUCUAUGGAUCCACAUGCUAAAGUAUUGCUGACGGAGGUGGAAAUUUUAUUAGAGCUCAAGAAUUUAUCGGGGUUUACUGCUUGUUAGGAUUUCUACUUGUUGGGAUAGGAAACAGGUGGAAUGACGGAAAAGAGAGAGAACAGUUUAGUGGGUGACUUUUGAAUUCUUUAUCUUUAUCCAAAAAUUAGUUUUACAUUUUUAAAUCUUUUCAAAAAUUAAAGGGCAUCAUUUAAUUUCAAGUUAACCAGGGUAUUAUACAGGACACGUGGCAAGCUCAUUAGGUGAUGGUGAGUAGAAAUGUUCCCAUUUAAUUAAUGUAAUCAUUUCAAUAUUUACUAUGUUUUAAAAUGAUUUGUUAUUAUCACUGAUUUGGUAAUAUUCUUUUUUAUUUGGAAGUGUUCGAAUCUCGUGAAUAGCAAAUUCGAUACCAAAUUAGGUUGCUCAUUGUAUGACUUAGUCGAACUCCCCCUCCCCUAGUGUAAAAAUAUCGAUGUACUAAAAAAAAAGAAUUUUUAUUGACACUCCAAAAAAUAUCAUUUGUACUCCAAAUUUUCUAUAAUUAAAAAAAAUACAUUGAAGUAUAAAAUGAGAUUUAUGGAGUGCUAAUAACAUUUUCCAUUUUAAAUAUUUUUAAGGUUAAAAAUAUAAUUUUAAUAUUUUUCAAUUGUAGCAUAAAUUUUGAGUUUUCAUGAAUGGCCGAACUCCCCUCCCAAAUCCCGGCUCCCCUAUCCUUGCUACAUUUUUUUUUUGAACAAACGAUAUUAUUUACAUUGAGGGGGAGAGGUGGGUUUAGCCUCACAAUGGGCUAGCAAUAAUGUGGUUCAAACUCACUUUUGACGAGACUCGAACCUAAGAUCUGUCACUUACAAGAGAAGAGAAGAGAAAUAUUAUUAAACCGUAAUACUAAGUGGCAUUCUUGCUACAUAUUAAGAUGCUAAUUUUUUUUUUUUAACAAACGAUAUUAUAUAUACACUAAGGGGUACGGGAGUGAGCUAAGCCUCACCCUCACAUUGGGCUAGUCAUCAAUAAUGUGGUUCAAAUUCACCUUGGCAAAAAUCGAAUAUAAAACCUAUCACUUACAAGUGAAGAGGAAUAUCACUAACCGUAAUACUAAGUGGCAUUAAGAUGCUAAUAAUAACAUUAAUUUUCAACUUUUACUGCCUUGUUUGGAGUACAAGACAAAAGUCAUUGACAUAACCGGAGGAAUUAAAGGCUUAAGUGGCUAUUGAGAUGAGAUUUUGCUUUUGGAGUUUGGGGAGACAUUCCGAUUGGAAGGGGAGUUUUGGCUAUUUUAUUUGAAGGAAUUCUGGAUGACAAGAUGCAGGGAUUCCAUAGAGUGUAAUGCUCCUUGAGUUCCGGAUUCGUUAUCCUGUUUGUUUAUCAACUUUUGAUUUUUCAAUGUGCCUAUUAUAUUUCAGUGGUAAAAUUUGAUUUAUCCUGUGCAGUAUGUAUGAGCAUAACGGUGAGAAGGAAUAUAUGGCUGCUACACAAUUUCAACCGGUUGAUCCCAGGCGGUGCUUUCCGUGUUGGGAUGAACCUGCUUGGAAGGUCGCUCUCGAUUUUUCUCUCUGAUAGUUGAAUUAGUUGAAUAAAUCUUGAUAUAUGUUUGUAUCUAGUCAUUUUGUAAAAUCAAUAUGGAUACUUUCGCACUGCUUAACCGCAGCUUUGAGUCUCAGAAGAAAGAUAGGUUUUUAUGGGAUAAGAAAUCAUUCCUUAAGUUAUUGUUAGAUUGUUUUACUAGGAUUGUUUGAAUUGACCCCAUUUAUUCUUAUCGAUUGGAACUUUGAUUGGCAGGCUACAUUUAAGAUUAGACUGGAUGACGUUCCAUCUGAAUUAAUUGCACUGACCAACAUGCCCAUUAUUGAAGAAAAAGUGGAUGGACAUCUGAAGACUGUUUUGUAUGAAGAGUCACCUAUCAUGUCGACAUACUUGGUGGCCAUUGUUGUUGAGUUGUUUGAUUACAUUGAAGAUCAUACAUCUGAUGGUAAAACUCAUACACAACAUCUCUUGUUCUGUAUUUGUUAGUAACCGUUUCUUGACAGUGUCAUAUUCCAUCUCCUCACAGGAGUCAAAGUGCGGGUAUAUUGUCAAGUUGGUAAAGCAAACCAAGGGGCGUUUGCUCUGAACUUUGCUGUCAGCGCUCUUGAAUUUUACGGAGAGUAUGUUUAUGGAUCUCAAAAUAACUCAAUGAAUCCUUUCUCUGAUUUUUGUCCCCUUCCGUGCUUAUGUUCAAUUGUUUAUCAUUUGAUAUGAAAUCAAUGACAAAAAAGUUCUACAGUUACUUUGCUGUGCCAUACCCCUUGCCAAAAUUAGAUAUGGUUGCAAUCCCUGAUUUUUUUGGCGCCAUGGAGAACUAUGGUUUAGUUACAUACCACGAAACGGUUUUGCUCUUUGAUGAACAUAACUCUUCAGCUGCCAACAAGUAAAUGGUAACAUACACAUACUGAAUGUCAAUCUUGUUUUCAUAAUUUAGCUUCAUUCUAGCUAUUGUUUUUUAACCUUAAUCAUUUCAUUUUGUUUUUGUGGAAGGUUGCAACUGUCGUGGCACAUGAAUUGGCACACCAAUGGUUUGGCAAUCUUGUGAUGAUGGAAUGGUGGACGGAUUUAUGGCUAAACAAGGCAUUUGCAUCAUGGGUAUCACUUUCUUCAUUUGUUGUACUUGUUAUUUUAUAUGCUUUUAGACUUAAAAGUUCAUGUUUUGACGUCAUUAGGUGAGCUAUUUAGUUAUAGACAUCUUGUUCCCAGAGUGGAAAAUAUGGACUCAGUUUCUUCGCAUUGAAGUUAGUGGGGGUCUUAAGUUGGACGGGCUUGAACAAUCUCAUGCCAUUGAGGUACUUCAAAUUGGACUAGGUCUUCCACAGAUUUUUUAUUCUGUCUGAAGUUUUAUUUUUCGCGGCAUAGGACCUUGAUCACCUGCAUAACAGGCUUUAAAUAGAAAUAUGCACGUAUACUUUCACAUUUGUAGUAUUUCUUGUACACCUUAUUCCCUUUUUUUCGCUAGGUGGAUAUUAAUCGUGCUUCCGAGCUUCAUGAAAUAUUUGAUGCAAUAUGUUAUGAUAAAGGAACUUCUGUUGUUAGGAUGCUACAAACCUAUCUCAGUGCCAAAUGCUUCCCGGUUGGUCUUUUGGUUUGUUAGCAAUUGUCCUUGACGACUAAACCAACAAUCUUAUUUAUGAGAUUUUUUUACAUUUAUUCCAUGGAAAUUUCCGAAAAAUAAAGGCUUCAAGGCAUGCAGGAUUAAAAGAGGAUAUAUCCUGAAAAAUGAUUAUUCUUUGAGAUUUUUGUUCACUCGUCUUCUGGUUCGUAUUGGUUAUCAAAUACGUUUCUCAUGAAAGUUACAGAGUUAACCGCCUGCUAUUUUUUCAUGCGUCCAGAGGUCACUUGCUUCGUACAUAAAAAAGUAUGCUUCAUCAAAUGCAAAGACAGAAGAUUUAUAGGCUGCCCUUUAGGAGGGAUCGGGUGAACCAGUGAACAAGCUAAUGAAUUCAUGGACACAACAAAAGGGUUACCCUGUUAUAUCUGUCGAAGUCAAAGAUCAGAAAUUGGAAUUUGAUCAGGUUUUUCCAUAUGUUGCCUUCCUUGAAAAUCUUGUUUGACUAUCAGACGAAAUUCUAAACGAACAUCUCAGAGGUCUAAUGCACUUUUUUAAAGUUUUUAAAUCGUUCGUUUAGGUUUUAUUCCAUGGUACAAAGAUCUAAUAAGUUGAUUAAUAAAUGGCAGACACAAUUCUACUUGAGUGGUUCCCAAGGCAACGGGCAAUGGAUUGUGCCAAUAAUAUAUUAUGUUGUGGCUCCUAUGAUGCACGCAAGAGCUUCUUGCUACGAAAUAAGUCUGAAACUCUUGACGCAAAGGAAGUUUUGGGUUGCUCCAUUGCAAAGACAAGAUCGAGUUGGAUAAAAGUCAAUGUGUAUCAGACUGGUUUUUACAGGGUGAAAUAUGACGAGGAACUUUUAGCUGCUCUUGGAUAUGCUAUAGAAAAUAAACACUUGUCUGCAACUGACGGAUAUGGUAAUCACGUUUUUAUGCUCACACACUUGUUUAUCUCUUCGAUAGUGAAAUUGGAAGUAUUCAGUUCAGCUUUCAUCAUUUCUUUUCCUUCAACAGGAAUUUUGGAUGACUCGUUCGCCAUUUCUACGGUUUGCUUGCAGUCUUUUGCUUCAUUGCUUACCUUGUUGGGUGCUUACAGAGAGGAACUUGACUAUAUAGUGUUGUCAAAUUUGAUCACUGUAAUGAUCACCUCUGCAUUGUGUUAAUUUUCUGGACUUAUAGCCUUAGUGUAAUUCAUGUUUUCACCUUUCACAGAUAUCUUAUAAGCUGGCAAGAAUUGCAGCUGAUGCUGUACCGGAUCUACUGGAUCUUAUUAAUCAGUUCUUUCUUAGCCUUUUUUAGUACUCUGCAGAGUAAGCUUGUUCUCUUUUUUUUUUCCCUCAACUAGCCAAGUACCUAAAAGGUCAUACCCAGUGCACAAGGCUCCCGCUUUACGCAGGGUCUGGGAAAGGUGAAUGUCGGCUAGCCUUACCCCCAUUUUAUGGAGAGGCUGCUCCCAAGUACCUAGCUAGAUAAAAAUUCUUUACGCAGACAUUGGUUCUUUAAUGAAUAAAAAUGGGUGUCCAGUUGGUACUGCCUACAAUGAUAUCGUUACAUUAUUUCAUGGCAUAUCGACAAAUUGGUAUUCAUGCAUACUGUCUAGGUAAAUACGCUUGUGUGAUGAUAAGAGGGCUGGAGCAAAAUGUUUUAACACUCCCAAACUAUCCACAAUUUUGCUUCUUUCUUUUCGUUUAUUUAUAUAUUUAAAUUUGGUUUUGUUUCCAGGAAGCUUGGCUGGGAGCCUAAACCGGGUGAGAGCCAUUUAGAUGCAAAGUUCAGAGAAGAAGUUUUAAUUGCCCUUGCUGUGUUUGGACAUGGCCCGACAAUAAACGAAGCAAGUAGGCGUUUUCAUGAAUUCUUAGAUGACAGAAAUACGCCUCUUCUUCAUCCUGACAUAAGAAAGGUUUGUUUUGUUGUAAACCAUUAAUUAAACACCUUUUAAUUCUCUGUUGAUCAUCAUUAUUAGUAACUCUUAAUUCUUGCACUGCAGGCAGUGUAUGUGGCAGUAAUGCAAAGAAUGAACAUGUCUGACAGAUGGGGCUACGAAUAUCUUCUUAGAGUUUACAGAGAGACUGAUCUGAGCGAGGAGAAAUCUCGCAUUUUAAGUAAUACUACUGAUUAAUUUGUACAAUUAAGGAUGUUGAUCCAACAUCUGAGUUUGUUAUGUCGUUGGAAUAAUAAUGUAUCUGUUUGUGCCUGUAGGAUCACUAGCAUCUUGUCCAGAUCCGAACAUAACACUGGAAGUUCUCAACUUUUUGUUGACUUCUGAGGUAUUUCUGAUUUUGUCUCUCUUAAUUGCAGGUUUAAAUUGUAAUUAGGUACCACAACAUUAGAGUAUCUCAAACCAAUUGUGAUUGACGAUACUGGGUUUAAUCCCAUCGAUUGCCAUCGAUGUAUAUAGGUACGCCAUCAGGAUGCUUCCGCUGUGCUGUCCUCAGUUAGUAGGGAAGGACGGGUAACAGCUUGGACGUGGCUGAAGGUAACUCUCAAUACCACUAGUUUCUAAUGAGCAUGCAUACUAUGAAAUGUACGUACCCACAUUCUAUGAAAUGUACGUACCCACAUUCAUGGAUUUGGUUUCUUUCCUGGUCUUGUUAAUAUGGUUCAUUUUGCCUUCGGGGAUGAUAUCCGAAACACAGGAUAAUUGGGAGCACAUCUCAAAAUGUGUUCUGGAUUUCUAAUUAUUCAGAUUGUCAGUGAAAUUGUUUCACCGGUUCGUUCUCUCUCUCUCUCACUCUCUCUAAACUUUUAAUUGUUCUCGUAUCUGGGGCCUUGUAUCCUUGUGUAAUUACCUUCCUUGCUACGCAGCUAGCGUCAUUUGAGAAGGUUAAAGAUGUAGAUGAGUUCUUCAAAGUCCAUCGUAUCCCCUCGAUAACUAGAACCUUGAAGCAGAGCGUUGAGCGGGUGUGUUGAGGAAAACUGAGAGUACACUGAGGAUCUAACUCAGAAAUUUCACUGUAAAUAGACUUUACCUUGUGGAAAUAUUCGGCAAUCGUCAUGUCUUGUUGGGCCACUGAUAACAACUCGUUCUCAAGGAACUGGAGUCUUGUAUCGUUCCUCUUUGAAAAGAGUGUGGCGAAGGUAUCCCACGCUUUUUUCGGUGUCUUAGCCUUCCGUAUGUGCUCCAACAUGUCAUCCUCGACUACGGUUUUUAGGGCGAACAUGGCUUUUCCUGCCUUGAUCUUCCACUUUUGCAGAGCGCCGUUGGUGUCUUAUUCCGGCUGCGUAACUUCAUUACCGUCGACGACAUCCCAAAGAUCUUGGCCUUGUAGGUAAGACUCCAUACACGUCGCCCAUGUGUUGUAAUUGUUGUUGUUCAACUUUUUUUAUUCCUCCAACAACUUGAAGAUCUCCCAUCGUGUCGGCAGAACUUCGAUAAGCCGAACAAAACUAGUCAACAAUCUUGCGAAGUACUAAACUUCUCACGAUUCUAAAAUGCUUCACUAGAGACGGUCUCUAAUCGUACCGCUCUGAUACCAAUUAUUGAGGAAAACUCAGAAUACAUAACUCUAACACAAGUGUUGAAAAGACAACACAAGUAAACAAAUUACUUGUAUUAUACACACAAAAUAUUACAACACUCACAAAGACAACUUUAAAAGCAAUGACACUCACUUGUUUUUUAGAGACACACUUUAAAUCACUCACACUCCUACAAAACUAUUCUUACUUCUUCUUGAUUGGUUCUUUCUUGAUUGAUUGGUUACAUAGCACCACACCCAUAUUUAUAGGCAUGUUUGCCGACCUCACUAGCACUUUCUAGUGCAUAUUCAUGCACACACUGCACCGACAUACAAGCCCUUCUUAAUUGCCGACUUUAUUACUUGGCUAAGAAUGCCCAUCUAGAUUAUUCUUUAGUGUUUUAGAUUACUCUAGAAUUUGGUUUGUUAACCAACUUCUUAUUCUAGAGUUAUGUAGGAAUUUCUUCACAAAUAAACUAGGCUUAAUUAAAUAUGGGCCUUUUGGGCUGGUGUUGAUUCUUCAACAGGGUGCGAAUCAAUGCCAAGUGGGUUCAGAGUGUUAAGGGUGAGAAAGAUCUUGCCGAUGUUUUGAAGGAGUUGGCAUACAGGAAAUACUAGCUUUGAUAGAAAAAAUGGGUCUGGAUUUUCCUCGGUUAUUAUGCAAGUUACAUAUUUUCCAAAAGAAGAAUAAUGGGACAUGGAUAAAUAUAAAUGCACUGUCAAAUUAUAAUACUAUAUUUUCGAGACACAUAGUUUUUUAUCUAUUUCAUAGAGGGACAAAACUUAUCCAUAUGGCAGGUGAUGUCAUGGUUGCUUUUUUAAUUGUCGUAUUUGCAUUAUUAGAGUUACUAAACUAGACAGCUAUAUCGGCCAAUCGAUAUGCUGACCUCACUCGGAGUGCGUUGGUGUGAAAGUUGAGAAUGCAAACCCUACGUGCUAUAACCGAGAGAACUAAAAAAUCGAAUGAAACAAGUGACUUGCAUGUGAAGAAAGUGACAUAUUAGGGUUUAGGUGUCGAAGGGGAUGCAUGCUUAUGAAAGGGACUGCAAGUUUUGCACAUAAUUAAUCCCAAAAAUUGGUGCGUUAGUUCAAAUUACGGUUAAACUUUCCACGUCCGAAGAAAUAUUUAAGCAGUGUCGACAGAGGUGAAAAAAGGAGUGCCUGGAGUGAAGAUGAGUAUCAUUUCCUUUGUCGUCGUCUUUGAGGAAUUCAGGUGGGCAGGGGAGAGAUCCGUCAACACAAGCAAUCAAACGGUGGCUCUUCAAAACUAGAACGAUCUCAGGAAGCAGAAAGGAAGACGGUCAGCAGCAGGAGGAUUGGUAGAAAUGGUUGACGCGGUGGGACACGCUUGCAAGGGUAAGCAGGAUCGGAAAAAAAGACGGUGUGAAAGAGGCGUAGGCAGAGAAGACGACUGAAGUGAACGGCCUCGAUAACUCAUCAGAGGCAUAAGGUGUGUAUUAUAUUAUCAUGCUGUACAAUGAAUACAUUUGAUACAUGUGAUAUAUUGAGUUGAUGAGAUACAUUUGUACAAUCGAAGACUAAAAACAUCUGAUACAAUGAAUGAUGAUUCUAUCGUUUUAACACCUGGCAGGUGACGAAAGAAUUGUUUGUCAUAAGCUCGACUACAAGUACGCUGUCUCUGGAAAGUGAUGACAACAUGAACAAUAAAGCUAGCAGUUUUCAAUGUGCAGAGACAUCGAAAUGGAACCCAAAGCACGCUGUCUUCAGAUUUCUCAAAGUUCAGCCACGAACCAUUGCCAUCUGCCAUUUUCUUUUCGAGGACACUAUUGGUCUGGUUCAAGAAAUCAGGAGCUUACUAUCCUUGAACCCGUCAGUUCUACCUGGUCACUUAGCAUAGUGUUUCUAUUCCAGGUGGUUCUUCUGUGCUCACUACAUUCAGCAACAGAUGACAUUCUCAGAACUGAACAUUUUGGACAGCCCCAACCUUGAUCACUACGUUAUGAAAACCAGUGCAUUAUCACAUAGUGCAUCAUAAAACUUUGCAUACAAAAGCUUGAAGCAUAGCCGCCCGUAGACCACUUUUGGAUGCUAUUUUUCCUUGGAACAUACUGAGAGAGGAUCUCACAAGUUCAUAAACCUGAGCGACCGCUCUGCAAAUUUUCUUCAAGAACUUCUAGAUGAUGUGAGCCGAUGGCGGACAUAAUUGCAAAAUUGAACUUUGACUGACAUGCUCAUAAGUCACAGUGCAGUCCAGCAUCUUUCCAAGGAAAGCAUCGGUUAGCCAGAAUACAUAGUGAAUUUCCCUGUGUAUUAUAUAUAUCAUCAGAACAUGUAAAAAAAAAAUAAGAGCUGCAAAAUGACUAGAAAACAUGCCGUAGAACAUUUCUUUUGACAACAAGAAGUACAUAGAUUGGUAGUAAGGCCAUCACUCACAGCCAUCCAAUGCAAGAAAGUUUUGCUUUUUCAGAUCAACAGCAAGAACACACCUUGGUAAAUCUAUGAUUCAGGCACAACAGCUUUACCUUUAUAUUAGUCGCCCUGAAAAGGUUGCAAGGAACCCCACGAUCUUCCAACUUUCAGUUUGACAUGCAACGGAACUGGACAACGAGUACUUAAAUUAGGUACAGCAAACAAAUGUCCUCAAAUUAUCGAGCAUUAAGCAAUGUUCCAGAAACUUUAGAAAUAUACCACGAAGCGAAAUAGCAUUUUCCAUGCUCCUCUGUAGCAGCAAAGCAGCCUCCUUUAUCACAACAGGAUCAACUUCCAGUACUAAUUCAUCAUGCACCUGGUUAGAAACAACCAACAAACAUUGUUACAUGAGUUGCCUUGUAAAUGAAGCAAAAUUAUAUUUAAUUAACAAAGCUAACAAGAUGCUAAAUAUUUUAGUUUCUUAAUAUCUUCCUCUACAUUUCGAAUUGACCAAAGAACAUAAAAUUAUAGAAUUGUAAACAGAAUUUCCAAAACCAACCUGUAAUAAAAUUCGGCAGCGGCCCUUCAGUACGUGUAACUUUGUUGCAGGGUGAGAAGAAGAAUCAGGCCUUUCAACACCUUCAACUAUCACGGAAUAUAUAUAUUUAUCACUGCAAUCUUAAUUAUGUCAGCAGCAGAUCCCUGUAAAAGGAAGACAUCAGAGAAAAAUACUACACUUCAGUGAUUACCUUUAAACACCCACACUCCUCAUCCCCACAGAAGGGAGGGAAAAAGUCAUACCUGACUGACAUAUAGAAUUCACAGCUUCUCUGAGCCUUUGACUUUUCUUUACUAUUCCCAAGUUUUAUUUUUGACAAAAAGCGCUUUCUUCCCUUAGGGUUUUGAUAAGUAUUUAUCAAAUAUAGCCAAAAAUGAAUCCUUAAUUUCAAAAAUGUCAUUUUUUAUAAAAAAAUUUCAAAUGUAUCCAAAAUUCCACUUAAAUAGACGCAAAUACCCUCAAAUUUAACAAUCAAAUAAAUUAAAGGUUUUUUAGCCAAAAUGAUUCGUGACAUUGACAUAACUCAUUAAUAUGGUCCUUAACAAUUAAUGAUAAUCAAUAGUAGUGUUCUUGAAUUUGUUAUCAGUAAUCAUUUUAGUCUUUCUUUGAAUUUAUCCAUUGUGAUCAUUUUAGUUUUUUCGUGAAAAAUCUAUCAAUUACUCUGUUAGCGUGAUGAUGUGGCACCAUGUGGGUUUCACAAAUACAAUCAUAUAACGACAUGUGGAUUAACUUUAAAAACUAUUUUUUUAUAUUUAAAACUAAAAAUGAUAUUAGUAAGAAAAAAGACGUUGACGGCAUGAUUGAAAUUCUACUACUCGCACUUGCGGUAACCGCAGUGGGGCUCAAUGUCAGUGAUGAGGGGUCGAAGGGGAUAGGGUUGUGGUGGAGUGUAGAAGCGAAGGUGAAAUUGGACCGAAGCUUGAGGCAACAGUAGCUAAAACGCCUUUAAUUUAUUUAAUUGUUAAAUUUGAGGGUAUUUGUGUCUAUUUAAAUGAAAUUUUGGAUAUAUUUGAAAGUUUUUAUAAAAAGUGACAUUUUUGAAAUUAAGAGUUAAUUUUUGGCUAUAUUUGAUAAAUAAUGCACAUAAUGAACAGUUGAAUAGCUUCAAAGAAAUGUUUACAGCAUUGUAUUACAAGGGAACUAACAGACUCUUCUGGAAUCCCAGUCCAUCUAGCCGCUAUCAUGGUGAAGACAUCACCAUGGGAUUACUAAGGAGUUCAAUGAGUGCAGAGUCUUUAGAGAAUGUGCCAUCAGCCGCAAUUCUAUCUGAGAAUAAUCUGCAGUUACAACAAUAAAACAAUUAACGUACACCAUAGAGUCAUAAAUCCCAUCCCCUUCUCCUAGUUAAUAUCCCACAAAAAAUUUCCUAGUCUGAAUAUAUGACAAUUCUGUACCAACCCUCCCCCACAUCCUCAUCUACUCGAGAAUUUUGUUGACUUUUAUGGUAUAAAUAUAAUAAUUGUUAAAGUUCUUUGAAUUAGCUGGGUUUCUAUGCAAGUAAGAAAUCUGAGAGAAUAGAGAAAGAUGCAAUAUGAAGAAAUGCUCUGCUCACUCUCAAAGUCUGAGAGGUGAUAUUUUCAUAUAUAUCUCACAGAACACACGCACUAAGGCAUAAGUACAUAACUGCUAGCCUUAGCUGGAUACACACAACCAACAAUACAAUCUCAGCCUUACACUUGUCAUAAUCUAAGACUAAGUGAAUAUACAAUUCAAAACAAGGCUUAUUUACUUUAACUUUACUUAGCUCACAGCUUAUACACUAAUAAUAAUAACACACAAAUGGCCUUCAAAUACAAGAGCAAGCUGAUCGUUACCUGAGUAGGAAUGAAGUAAUCGCGAGCAUUGAUGUUCAAUUGAUCAACAUCAGUUUCGUUUCCAUUUCCAUCCUUAUAUAUUUUAAAGUCAACCAUAUGUUCAACACACUGCAUAAAUCAAAAAGAACAAAAUGUGAUAAGAUAGUAAUGAUUAAAUUUUGUUAACGACUGAAGGAGAGGGAAGAGAGAAUAAAACGACGCAUGGGAAACCCAAACCUGGCGAUUUGGUUCCUCCAUUAAAGGCGACCAGUUGCUGUUGAUGUUUGGAGCCAAUGACCAUGUAAUGUGUACUAAUUCUGUGUCCUCACAGAGCCUACCCAGUGAACAAAUUGAUACCAAUGUACAGUUUAAAAGUUUUGCCAACGUACGAUGCUCCUUAAUGACGGGAAUUAUGGGAUGCUCAUCCCUGAAAUGAAAUCGAUUAUAGGAUGCUCAUCCAUCAAAACAAUGAGAGGCUGAUGCCACAAAAUCAAGAGAUUCAAAUGUGCAAGCAAGAAUACUUUAAUACCAUCUCCUUCAAGUGUUCAAUAUUCAAACAAAACAAUCUAAAUGGGAUGGAAGCCUCUAUGGAAUCAAAUAACUAAAUGGUAAUCCUAUUCGCUUGAGUAUUUAUAUUUCAACAGCUUAUUCACACCUGAGAGGGGGUAAGGUUACGAAGUACGAUAGAAGAAUAGAAGUCUCGCUAAUACCUUAAUAAAUCCAAGCAGUGCUUGUCCGUACUUGGGUGUUGUUUCCCCUUGUUGCGGCCCUCUGGUAUGGGCAGCUUUUAAGUGUGUUGUGAUUGACUCAUAUUUUGAGCUGACAACAAUGAAGUGACCUGUGUUUUUUUGGUGGAAAUAUCACAUGAUGUGGGCUGCAUGAAAGUUGCAGACAAGUGCUGCAAAGUAAAAGCAAAAGUGGACAACAAGCCAAAUGUUUUUCGGCUAAUAAACUAAACAAAGAAAAGUUGUGUUGUGAUUGACUCAUAUUUUGAGCUGUCAACAAUGAAGUGACCUGUGUUUUUUGGUGGAAAUAUCACAUGAUGUGGGCUGCAUGAAAGUUGCAGACAAGUGCUGCAAAGUAAAAGCAAAAGUGGACAACAAGCCAAAUGUUUUUCGGCUAAUAAACUAAACAAAGAAAAGUUUGGUGCACAUCAUCAUGAGUAAAGACACAAUGAUAAUGCUUGUAAGAAAAUAGAAAAAAGUGGUUGCUUUUAGUUUAAUGAUUAUGAAGAAAUGUGAUGAUGGAUUGGCCUUUAUUUAAUGCAAGGAAAUGCUUGCUUUAUGUGUGCUUGCCGAGAGAGAAGGUUUGCAUCAGAAAAGCAUCCAAGGUGGAGAAAGCAUUUGGUUCUCCCAUGGGAAAGGUUAAACAUGGGUUGAGAGAAAAUCAAGAGAGCUAGAGUGAAAAGUAUUAUAGUGAAAGAACUCUUGGGUAGAGUGAGGCUCUUGGGAAAAUGCUAUGAGUGGGUGUGCAAGGGAUUUGGGAUUGAGUUAUGUUGAUUUAACUCAUGUGUACUUGUACUGUUAUUCAUAGUGAAGAGCAAUAUCUCUUCGGGGACGUAAGCAUGUUUUUGCCGAACCUCGUAAAUUUUUAGGUGUCUUUAUUUCUUGUAUUUUAUUUUGUUCAACUGAGUGUGAUUUGGUGAGGUUGUAAUCUGAAUCUCGUUUCCGCACUAACGAACACGCCAAGGCACAACAAAGUGUCCAUACAUAGAUUAGCAAAUCUGGUGCCGUAGAUAACGAAAAUUUCAUGCCAGCCAACUUAUAGGCUUCCUUCUCAAGCUGCCCUAGCUUUUUUCCUAACACCUUGCGUGCUUGUAAGCAUCCCUCCAUGUCAAGACCCACUCCCCAGAGCUCCAUGUCGGCAAGAAUAUUAACCUAGCAUACAAAUAAGCAAUAAGCUAUUGUCGAAGUGGUUGGGUUGGGUACUGGUUCUCAAGCACCCAACUAAACAGUGGUCAUGCAUUUAAAUCCAAAACAAACAAUAGCAAUAAUGUAAACCUCAAAUAAAAUGAAGCUCCCUCAAAAAAAUUAAGUCAGAUGCUAUGAAAGUAACUUACCAAUGGGAAUUCAAAAUCUAGGAGGGCUUCAGUGAGGUCUUCAGCAACAAUUAACUUCCAAAGAACAGAACAUAAGGCUCAUAUUUUUGCAGCCCGAUGGUAGCAACCGUUAUGUGCAGCUCUUCGCAUCUGAUUCUUCCACCUGCCAUUCCGAUUAGCAGCUGAUGCAGCUUCACUAGAUAACCUUUUCUUAACUUCCUAUAAAUCGUUCUAAAAUCUUCAAAUGCAAAUUCAGUAACGAUGAACAUGUAAAUAUUGAAUGAAAGAAUUAUAGUUAAACACUUCUGCCUUUAAGAAAUGCUUUGAUUGAAAUGAUGAAGUUUCUUUUUUGGGAGUUUUAACAAAAUACUCCUGGUACUGUUCACUUUUAAUGAAAAACCAUAUUUAUACAUUUCCCUGGUAUUAUUCACUAUAUCUUUAAAAAGAAUUUUCAUUAAAAAAGAAGUUUUUUUGGAUUUUUCGUUAAUUUUCCUUUAUAUGAACCGGAGGCAACAGGAGAGUUUUCCCAACAGAUGGCUAUGCCAUGUAUUUCAAAGGGCGCAACAGAAUUCAAUUCCGAUCGUUUGUUGUAGUGAAUAUCAAAAUAGAACUCUCAGAUGGAUCCCCAGAGAUCCAAGAAGGAAUCAAAACCGCCAAGAGUUUUAACUCCAUGAAUAGGGCCUUUCCCACAAGCAUUGCUUUUAUAGCUAGAGGACAAAUUCUCCCUUUUGUAGCGUUUCUGUUUUUCAAGAGCAAGAGAGUCAUCAGAUGCCCUAGUUCUAUCAAUUAAGCUUUAUAACUCAACCCGGUCAGUCAAAUCAGUACUUUUCGUUUAAUCCAUCGCAGCAGUAAGAUAAUCCAGCCCUCGAAGAUGUACUUUAGAAUUGUCAGCACUAGACUUAAUUUGCAUGACACCAGUUCACUUUACUUCUGCAGCCUUUUCAGAAUGAACCCUACCUUCCAAAGAUGCUUUAGCAGCGUACUCUGUGCUGCGCUCUACAUUAGGGAAGCUACUAGUGGAGUUAUCACCAGAGGAAUUUCCUUCUCCUUGCAUACUGGGACUUCCACCACCAGUUAAAAAUACCGGUCCAGAAAACCGUGGGACAUACAUGUUGGUGGAUAGUCGCCAAAUUAGUGGCCAACUUGGCAUUCACUUUCGGCUAGAAAAUUAAACAAAGAAAAGUUUGGUGGACAUCAUCAUGAGUAAAGACACAAUGAUUAUAUUUGUUGAAAAAAAAAAGGAAGGUCACGAUGAUGUUUGUAAAGGAAUGAUUAUUCCUUUACUUUGGAUUUUUUUUAUUAAAUGCUUUUGUAUGGAUAAAGGUUUUCAGCCGAAUGAGGGAGGGAAGGGGGGAGCGGCAGAUGAGAGAAACCAGGGAGAGCAUUCGGCUCUCCCAUUUGAAUAUGAGCUGCUCCUUCCCACCAUUUGUAAUAAUCUCAUUUUGUUAGUAAUCACUCAAUCAAAGAUGUUGGUGCUACUUGUUGUGUUUGGUUCAUACAUUUGUGAGUAAUUAUGAGUCAUGUGUUAACAACAAUGAAGUGACUUGUGUUUGCUUUCGGUGGAAAUAUCACAUGGUGUGGGUUGCAUGAAAGUUGCGUGCUGCAAAGUAAAAGUAAAAGUUUGGUGGACAUCAUCAUGAGUAAAGACAUAAUGAUAUGCUUGCUUUUGCUUUAAUGAUGAUGUUUGUUUUUUGCUUUAAUGAUGAUGCAAGACACAAUGAUGAUGACUAUGAUGGCUAUGAUGCAAGAACUAUUUUGUGCGCACCAUUCUUGAUCUUCUUUGCUACGCCUACUUGGAUGCGCCUUUGAGCUGAACCUUCUGCAGUCAUAGUAUCAUCUUACCAAUAUUAGGAAAGAAUGCAGGAAAAAUACGCAAUAAAAUCAAAAUAACUUUAAGAAAUAGUAAAAUAAGUUAUAAAAGAAAAGUGGGCAAAAACUCAUCUUCAUAAAAUAAAGUACAUAAACUAUAGAGCUAGAACCAUCCAUAUGAACAAAUAUUAUCACAAUCCCGCUGGCAAACAAGCAUAUGAAACAAAUGCAUCUGAGCAAACUUACAUGCAUUUAGAAAGCUAAUUGUUGUACAAUACUUGACUGGAAAGAGUACCGUUGUGCAUUUCAUUGAAAGACCAGAAAGAGAUUCGCGUUCAGAAAAAGGUCUUGGAAUUAGUUAUCACACACUAAAAUUUUCCUUCUUAGGCAGAAUUCUUUUCUGUAGUUACUGGUUUGUAAUGUUACAUAAACUCAAUUCCUUUUUUAAAGGUCAAAGAGAAUGCAUGGAGUAAGCUAAGAAACACACUUCGGGUUUUCAGAAUGUCUCCAAAGCAAAGAAAUGCUAAGAACUAAGCUAAGAAACAAUUAUUUCUUAAUAGUCCUGGUAACCAUCACAAAUCAAACAUAGUUUAGAAGAACAUGAUCUUAUCAGGACAUCAGAUGAUAUUAAGAUAUCAUUUACCAGGAACUUAUCACAGGAAACUGAGAAGCCGUGUACUAAAAUUAGAAUCUUAUAUGCAUCACCUUGUUCGUUCCAUGAUGAAAAUUCAAAAAGAGCUUUGACUAUUUCAGGGAUGGACGCUUCAGCAAUUGCUAAAGGAGUACGCAAGCCAGCUUUAUAGAGUGCCCUCGCUCGAGAACCCUACAGAUCAGCACAUACCAUUUACAAAUAAAUAAAUAAACAUUACUGUUGAGCAUAUGUCAGGUAUCAAAAGGAGGUUACGAAUGUGACUGUAGUUCACAUACCUUGAUAUAUGGAAUUGUAGUAAGCUCUACAAUCUCUGCUCUCACUCCAAAUGAAACACGAUUUUGAAACUUGCAAACCAAGCCCUCUAAAUCAUGCCAUCCACGCCUCUCACAAACACAUGGUUAACCAUCGAUGCAAACCUUUCUCUUGUAAGGCCUGCACCAUACCUCUAGCCAUUUUGAAAGCUUCACGUACUCAGUGAUAGCAGCUUCCUUCACCACAUAUUGAAGAGUUCACAUUUAGCAAGGCAGAAGUCAACAAAUCUCACAAUAUCCCAUAAAUAAAUAAAUCUAAACUGAUAGAUACUUUUUUUUUUUUUUAGAAACUUCGACGGUACAAGGUAAUUUUAUUGAUAACAAAAAAAUAAGUUACACCUAGUUUGUGGAGACAUAAACCUUACCCCUAAAAAACAGAGACAACAAAAAGGAAUACACAAAAAAAAAGAGGGAACCUAAACCUUACCCUUCUAGAAACAAAAAACGAGAAUGAUACAAAGAAAAAGGAGGGGGGACAUAAACCUUAUCAUUCUAAAAAAAAAAAACAAGAAUGAUACAAAGGAAAAGGGGGGACAUGAAACCUAACCCCUCUAGAAUCAAACCUAAAGGUCUAAACUUGCAAAAUAAGUCAAAUGACAUCAUAAAGUUAGGAGAAAACAAGAAAGUGAGACAAAUCUGGAUGCCGACAUGCACAUUAAUUUGAGAAGUGGUAAUCAGACAAGUCAACAUAGUCUGAAAACAUAGUAGCACGAACAACUAUCGAAGGAGAAUCAUGCCAUGUAAAACUGAUGGAUACUCGAAAAAGAAAAAGAGCAAAAAUUUAAAUUACAAGACGAAAGGAACAAAAUGUAUGUCACCUCCCAUGUGCGUGUGUAUAGAUGGUUGAUUUCGUCAUAUCGAGUUCAUUGAAGAGGUGAAGUCAAAGUUGAUUUGAUGCUUCAAUUAUAUUGUUUUCAUUUCGAUUCAGGUGAAUAAGUAGAAAGUUUAUAUAAAAAUAAUAUUAUUUACUCUAAUUCUAUAAAGUUUAGUAAGCAGUUCUAAUGUGAAAAUCCAAUUAUGAUUUUUCUACUUUCUUUUCUUUCAUUUUACUUACAAAUUAGUAAACGAGCUAUAAUAAGAAUAUCACCAAGAGAGACUUUAUCCUCUAUAAAGAUACUAUAUUUUAAGCCUUAAUGAGAAAUGAGGAGAAAAAAUGUGUGUGAUUAAUAUUUAUCGUUUAACAUGUUGAAAUUAAGUAUGCCACAUAUAAACAACCGAGCUUUAUCGUCCUUACUUGAACAACUAAACAGUAUUCCACGAUUUCUUUCGCUCAAAGUAAAGCAUAUAUGCCCCUAAUAGAAUCCACAUUUUUGUAUUCUUAAUUAAAUUUUAAUAAGAACAUUUAAUACUACGAUCUAAUGUUAUUAUUCUUCACUUGUAAGUGAGAGUUUAUAUUCGAUUUUCACUAAAGACAAUUUUGAACCACAUUACAGCUAACCCAUUAUGAGGCUAAGCGUAUCCUCUCUCAUUUAUUUAACAAAAAAAAUUAUAUAACAAAGUUAGAAAUCAAAAUGAUUUUUUUUCUCUUAUAUUCAUUUUUAGUAAUUACAUAUGCCUUAAAAAUAAACUAAUUGACACAAAAAAAAAAACACAAUAACUGAUCAAAUCAAACAUUUCUAUAUAUAAGUGUAUUCUUCUCCAAAAAAUACAAAAGAAUGAUAGAGACAUCAAAAAACAAAUGUUUUUAUAUUAUAUAGCAUUUAAAAACAUAUGUUAGAUUAGAGGGAAUAUAGAAUAUAGAAUAUAUAGCCUCUCGCUCAAAAAAUAAAAGUAAAAUGUAAAAAAGAAAAAAGAAUUACAGAGAGACAAGUACAGUCGAGAAAUUCUAUAAAUUGGAGCGAGGAGAGUAGAGGAAGAGUCCCGCGCGGCAUCUCAGCGAGCGAUCGAUUUAGGGGUUUUCAUCAGAAACCAGAACAAGUUUACAAACAAAGCGAAUCGGCUUACAAGUUCACAAACAAAGCGAAUCGGCUUAGGGUUCGCACUCUUCCUGUUCUCUGGAGAACCAGCAUUGCAUCGAUUACUGUCUUCGGCUCUGCAGAGAGCCGCUGUAAGGUUCGAUUUUGCCCCUCUCAUUGUUUUAAUUCGUUAAAUUUUCACUCGCGAAUUGUUUCUUUGAUUGGUGGUUGUAUCUGGGUUUUAUUCGUUUGAUUUAAUUGUCAGAUUUUUUGGGUUGGUUGAAAAGUUUUGGAAUUUCAUGCAUUUGGGGAUUGUUCUAUGUGUAAUUAUCUGUGGUUUUCAUCAUUUAAUUAGUUUUUUUCCCCCUUCGGAGGUCUUCGGGAUGUAAUUUUGAUUGCUUAAAUCGGAGGCACAAGAUAGUGCAGUGUUAGUGUUCCAGGAUAUUGGGAGUCUGGGAUUCUAGGGUUUGUUUUUGUAUCAAUUGAAAGAUGUUUUAUUAAUUAAAAAAAAAGAUGUUUUAUUAAUUUAUGGAGAGAAGGUCUUGAUUUGUUAUCGAACAGUUAUUUAAGUCUUAAGAUAAGACAAAUUUAGUACUGUCCUGAAUCAGUUUCACUUCGCUUGAAUGUAUUCCUCUUUAUUCCUUUGAACUGCAGUAGUGUUUUCUGCUUAAGAUAAACCGGGAUUGGUAACCGUAGUGGAAAAAAAAAAAGAUUUUUUGGGUGUAAAUUGUUCUCGGGAAUCAUUAUCUUCUUACAUUAUUGACUGGCAAUUGUUCUAUCAAAAUAUUGGUAAUAGGUUUUUCCUACUUUUUCAGGUUAACUGUGAGUCUGCUUUUGAAGAGGCCUGGUGGGGGAAUAUGGAACAAGAUACACGGACUGAAAAGCUUGAAUUUACAUGGGGAAAGAAGAAAGGAAAGGGAGGGAAAAAUAAGGACGUUCAGUUAUGAAUCUUUUACUUUUGAUGGUGAAGAGUACACGCUGUAUGAUUGCGUUUAUCUUUACAAGGAAGAUGAACCUGAGCCUGAGAUUGGAAAGCUAAUAAAAAUAUGGGAAACUGGUGAGAAGACAAGGAAAGUUAAAGUUCUAUGGUUUUUUCGUCCUUGUGAGAUUUCAAAUUUUCUUGGAUGUGAAGAGGUACUUGAGAAUGAGUUGUUCUUGGCAUCCGGUGAUGGUGUGGGCCUUGCGAAUCUUAAUCCAUUGGUACUUACAUUUUGAUUUAUGCUCUUAACUAAUUUUAUCAUUUGUAUUUGUUAGAAAUGGAAUGAUUAAUUGAUCACGUAAAGGUGUGGUAUAUAGUUUGUUAGCCUAAAUGAAUAUAGUCUUUCUGAUUUUCAAUCAAUAAUGAUGCAGGAACUUUCCAUACUAUAUAUCUUUGCAAUGCUAUUGUUUCUUUUCUUCGUUCUGCUGCCAAGUUUGUCUUCAAUUUUUCACUUCAUUUUUCACCGAGUUGACUAAACCGUGCAGUUUCUUUUAUAGAUUGGUUGACGUGUUUGAAUAUAAUUUACAACAAAUUCUACUUCUCUGAUAUAGUAGGACCGUGAAACAUUGUUAAGCUUCUUAGUGUUCUAUUUUUUAUAUUUCUUAAAAGACUCUAAUUGGCAAUCCUUACAACUUUGAUUUCCAGCAAUACAAUAAGAUUUGCAUUCCCCUUGUGAUGACAUAAAUUGUGUCAGAUUACAUGUUGCCCCUCUCUCUCUCCCAGAUUACAUGUUGCCCCUCUCUCUCACACACACACAAUUACAAAUACAUGCUAAGGCUGAACUUGGGUUUUGAACUUUUGGUAGUAUUUGAUAGAUGUUAUAUCCCUAAUAGACAUGGUAAUAUUACAAGUGAGAAAUGGUUUCAAUUGGUAACUACAACAACAACAACAACAAAGCCUUUUCCCACUAAGUGGUUUCAAUUGGUAACUGAUUGUAAAUAUUCUUGCGCUAAAUGAAACUAAGCACUUAGAAAAAUAUAUUAUGUGCAUGUCUUGGUUAGUAGGAAUUGUAUUUAGACUUUAUAAUAUGAUAGCAUUGUAGCACAAUCUUAACAAGUUAAGAUGUGGACCAACGGUUAUGUUAUGUUCUAACACUGCCCCCCAAUCUUGGGACUCUCUUUAUCACAAGAGUUCAUUUGUGGAUUUCAAGCUUUGUUGGAAGGUACAAUUGCAGAGACUUCAACAUUGAAUUCUCAUGCUUUGAUACCAUAAUAAAAUUUUAUGUUGUUAAGAUAUAAAUCGACAAUUAUUUCAUAUUCUACUAUUAAAGAUCAAUGGUCUAGUUGCUGAAGUUUUAUAAUCAAAUCAGGAAGCCAUUGCUGGAAAAUGCAAUGUUCUUUGCAUUUCAAAAGACAAGGAAAAUCCUCAACCAUCAGAUGAAGAGCUUCAAAUGGCCGAAUUUGUGUUUCGUCGAACCUUUGAUGUUGGGCUGCAAAAAAUCACUGACAAGAUAGAGGGAGCAAUUGCUGGGAUUGAUGGUAUGUAUAUCUAUCAACUCGGACCCUUGUAGUUUGACUUAUAGUUGCAUGUUUAUUUUCAUAUUUUGAGUCUUAUAUCUUUGUUUAUGUAAUUGUUGCAGUUAAAUUCAUGUUUAACAGAAGGGAUAUUCAGAAGCCUGGUGGCGUUCUGAAAGUUGAUUUAGGAAAAAAUGAAGUUUGUGGGAAUUCCAUAGCAAGUAAUGAAACAGUGGUUCUAUCAAACAAAAAUUCAUUUAAAGAAAAUAUCACUUUAGAGACAAAUGGAAAUAUUGUUGAUUCGUCAACACUAGAAAAGGGUGAUUUGGUUAAGCAUAAACCAUCACUUGUAGAAAAACCUGCUUAUGGUGUAGGUUUAAAUUCAAAUGAAAAGGAUAAAAUGAAUGAAAAACAGGAACAUGUGUCAAAUCCCAAGGUCUUGUUGAGUUCUGAAGUUAAAAGUGAUGAAGGUGAGGUUAAGUGUGGUAAAGUUCAUGCACAACAAGUUGAAGUGGAAGAAAAAGUGAUGUUCACUAAGGAUAACGUUGAUUCGGAUAAUAGGCCAACCAAGAAGGCGAAGCUUGAUAAUGGUAAAGGUAGUGAGCAAAUACUUGCGAAGGUAGAAAGAAAGAAAAAAUGUACCAAUGUUUGUGAUUCGAAGGCGAAGAAUGACACUUCAAUUGAAGUGGUCAAUGACAAAAAGAAUAGUAGUGACCUGAGUUGUAUGAAUGUUACAAAGGUUGUAUCCCCAAAUGUUCCUGUUGAAGUGGAUCAUGGACAAUCUAAAAAGCCGAAGCUUGAAUCUUCGAUUGAAGUGCCCAAUGACAAAAGCAAAAGUAGUGACCUAAAGCAUGUGAAUGCUACAAAAGUUUUAUCAUCGUCUACCUCUGCUCUUGAUGAUAAAUCCAAACUUAAGCGUGCAAAGGAUUCUCUUGGAACAAACAAUGCCCUUCUCAAGAAGAUGAAGCUUGAUGACAAGGCAAUGACCAUUUCCGAAGGCAACAAUGGUAAGUUGCCUAAAGCAUCUCAACGUAAAGUCAAACAUGUAGAGGAUUCUCGUGGAGCAAAUGAAGAGUCUUGCAAGAAGAUAAAGCUCGAUGAGAAAGCCAUGGCACCUUGUGAUGGCAAGUUGCCUAAAGUACCUCCUACACAAUCUCAAAGUAUGGCCGAAAAGGUUGAUGGCCAAGAAGUUACUCGACGUCCCGAUGUUGUAAGUAAUGCCAUUCUUUCCUCUUUUCAUUCUAGUCCAAAUGAUUCCCUUAUUGAGAGUGUGAGUUGUCGUUAUUCCCCACAUUAAGUCGAAUAUUGGUGUCAUUUCUAGCAUGUUUUUUUCUUUGGGUCUUACAAAUACCAUGCAUUGUUUUAUAUGGUGGAGUGUCCAUAUAUCCUAUCUCUCAUGGUUGAGGGUUUUUCCAAUGCAAAACUUUGGCGACUCCCUAGGUUGUCAUAAUUGGAACUACUUUUAGCGUUGAUUUUGGAACGUUAAAUACUUUGGAGAAGGUUGAUAGUUAUGUUUUCGCAAUUGCAUAUCCUUGGAGAUGCUCUAAUUAUGUAGAGGUAGGAUGUUGGAGUUAAGGCUUUUGUAGUUAAGGCACAAAUUGGCACUUGAUUGUAGCAUUCGAUAAUUGAGUUCUACUCAAAGAAUUGGCACUCAUUCAUUGUACACCUGUGGCGAGUUGACUCUCGUUUGUACUUAAUUGUGGUGUGGACAUUGUGUGUCAUGUGCUACACAAGAAUUGCUUCAUGGCUUGCCAAAAUUGGUUUUUUUUCUAAAUGAAUAAUGUCAAGGCUAUCACAAACUACCAAAGUUUUCAAGGAAUAUUCAAAUCAUCAACCAAACUUCAAAUUUGCAGUGCUUCUUUCAUGACUUGACAAUGUUUCUUCAUCAAAUUGUCCAUUCGCGUCAAUUGUUUUUCAUGUUCUUGCCAUGCAGAAUUAUGGUAAAUUUUGAAACUUAUGGAGUUCAAAUAUAUAAAGUUGAACCAUUCCCAAAUGUUGUGUGCGAGUUCAUGUCAUGAAUUAUUUCGCUAGUAGUUAUAGUAAUGGCAACAAUGUUCCACUAUUUUAUUUGUAGUUAAGGUAUCUCCCUUGUUCUCAUCGUUGCUAAAUUUGAUUAGUGUCCACGUGGUGAAACCCUUAUUGGGUUGAAAGUAGUUUUUACUUGUUUCCUUCUUCAUUGUGCUCCUUUCAUUUAGAACACUAAGAGUGCGUUUGUUGCAUCGACUAAAUCGGACUAGACUAGCUUCAUGGAUUUAGCCGGACUGACUUAGAAUAGACUAAGCUGGACUGACUUAGUUAAGUGUUGGGUGCAGGAUAAUUAUACAAACUCUAAUAUUAUAUUAUUUAAUCCAUAUCUAUUAGUAUUUUGAUAUUAAUUCUAUCUUUUUCUUUUUUAUAGAAACCUCUUCCUCUCUCUUUAAACCUUUCCCUCUUUUUCUUUGUGCCAUUCUCUCUCUCCCUUCUUCCUCCUUUUCUCCCUCCAACUCAAGAAGUUGGAGAGCUCUAGAAGGCACGACAAAUCAAAUCCCUCCAAUCCCAUUUGAAACUCGAAUCGAAUCCCUCUGGAAGUUGGAAGAUCAAGAUGAAAAACCCAGAAGUCAAGACGAAAGCUAAGCUCGAUCAUUUACUUGUUGGAUCCCAUUUGAAACCCAGAUCCAAUCCCUCAAAAUCAUGGCCUCCUCCUACCCGAGCACCACCGCACCCUUUUCUUAGGCAACUCCCACAACCACCUAACGAGAACAACCAAUCCUCAUCGCCUUUGUUCGAAUGGGUUCGAAUUCAGAAGCCAUUGAUGCCCUUUUGCAGCAGAAGCUCUUAAGUGGCGGGGACGACGAGGCACUCAAGAUCAUGCGCAGCCUUUCACCACUGAGUGGAAGUUCAUGAUGGAGAGGAUUCUCGUUGAAAUGGGUGAAAACGAUGGGGACAAUGAACACGUAUUGCUAAUCCCAACUUUUCACACGGUAUUAGAGGUGAGGCGCGAAGGCUCGUCCCACUUAAUCUCAUUAAAGCUAGUCCUUUAACCAUGCCAAACAAGGAACUAGGACAAUAACUAAGCCAAUCCUAGCUAAGGAGGCCAAACAACCGGGAAGGGCUCAUUUGGAACUUCCUUUAGAAUGGAUAAAAGCAUUUUUAGAUAACCAAGGGCACUUUCUUUUUUAGGAAGCACGAUUACUCAUAAGUGAUUUUAUACUCAUUAAUCUUUUCUUAUUUUCACAUUAGAUGGUUUCAAACUGUGGACCUAACCUACUCGUGCAAGUCACCCUACGUCCACCCUCAAUACUAGGCUCAUAAGUGCUUUUAUAAGCCACAAGCAUUUUUAAGUUUUUCUACCAAGCGUUGAAGAAGUUUUUUGGUUAUCCGCAAGCGCUUUAAAGCUCACUUGGAACUACUUGUUUAGAAAGCGCUUUGGCUACAAGUGCUUAUUAAACACCAGUUGAGGGUUUGGUAGUCAGGUUUACUGUUAGUUCUUUUGUGUUAUUAAUGCCUAGUUCUUCCAAAAUGAUAACAUAAAGAUUCCCAAAAAGUUAACCUUGUAUUUAGUUCUUACAGUUGCUCAUCUUCAUUCUUGCAGGACAGAAGAACAUGGUUCAAGGGAUUUGUGAGUUGUUCAUUUUCACUUAUAUUCUUGGUUUUAAUUGUUAAUUUUGAAUCUCAAGUUUUUGUUUAUUGUUGAAUUUGAUUCUAGUGCAUUGCACCUGUAAGGCCUCAAAACUGUCUUCCACUCUAUUGCCUAGGGGCAAGGAAACAUAAUGGGGUGUUCUCAAUUUGAACCUCAAUUAGUAAUUACUUUCACCAAAAAAGUUAAAAGAGAAGUUCCUUUAAAUUGACAUUUAAUGGAUGUUUUAAUGUGGACGGUAGUGGGUGCCAUGUUGGACUGAUGAAAUGUCUUUUAUCAAUGUCAGCCUUGGGAGGAUAGAAUUCAGGCUGCACAUGAGCAAGGCACCCUUGUUCUGCUCCAGAAUUUGGAUCCAGCAUACACUUCAGCACAAGUGGAGGUAACAGUUGCAUUGGAGCUUUAGUUGCAAACACUGUUAUUACUUGGAGUAUAGAUUUUGAACUAAAUGUACUAAUGCAGUAUGUAGUUGUGUGUUUACUCGUCCAAUUUUUCAUCUUUGUCAACUCUAGGCUGCCACUUACUUAUGUGUUGGGUUUUCUACUUUAGAGCAACAUCUCAUUUGAUCUUAUGUAUUACAUUUCAGGACAUACUAUGGCAUGGUUUUAAGGAGAGCUGCACGGCUAAGAUGAUUCAGCGGACCGCCAAUUCUAGUCCUCACUAUGGUAUGGAUAAUUUAUUUAAAUCUUAUAUUUAUUCUCCUAUCUAUUUUCUCAGAAAAAUUGACUUGAUCUUGUGUUUAGAUGAUAAUAUUUAUUUGUAAACACAACAUGGAUGAAAUUACGCUUAUAGUCUAAUUCUAAAUUAUUUGUUUGUUCAUAUUGUAGGACAAGCUCUUGUUAUUCUCAAAACUAGGGAAGCAGCACAAAAGGUUGUUAGAGAAUUGGAUAAGAGAUGUUUAUUGUUGUCAAAUGGAAGGUUUGUAGUUGGCUAAUAUUCUAGCAUAGGUCGUGUUAGCCUCUACAGCAUGAUGCAUCUUUUUGCUAUUUACUCUCUAUAUCUUGUUUUAUUUCUCUGUUCCACUCCCCAUUAAAUAAUUUAGAACACUCCACAUACCAAGUUUUUUAUUUUGAAGUCCUUUCUUAUGACGUACUGGUAAUCUUUUCUGUUGUAUCCUAUUUUUCUGUCUUAUCAAUUCAAAGCAGUUGACAUGUAAGAAGUUUUCACCAGGUGGUAUUUUUUUUCUCUAGGUUCUGUUAAUUAACUGUUUUUGAUUGACGAAGGAUACGAGCUUCUGUCAAUUUCAAUGUGAUUAUCAACUUUUACUUUAUAUACAGCUAAUUUCUGCAAAUAGGUGGUUCACAUGAUGAUAGUUUUUAUACGAUUUAUAGGCCUCUUGUUGGCAGCUUUGGAACUCCUUGUUCCUCAGAAAAGAAGGCACCCUUUUUUGGUCAUCUUACUAUUGAGAAACUACGGCACCAAAAUGCACGGGAAAUGGUACAGUUGCAUCUCUCUCUCUCUCUACAAGCAUCAACAUAUAUACAAGAAACACAAGCGUAUAAAGCUGGUAUUGUUUGUUUCUGUUUUCAUAGCCUUCUCAUCUACAUGUUUAUGUUUUUACCUUUUUGGAUCCAGAAAGAAGCCAUAUCUACUUCACAUUGUUCCCAGCCCAACACUAUUGAAUACGAUAUGGCCAUGGAGUGGUGUUUACAACAAGAAAGAUCAGAUCUUUUGUGGAGGAACUUAUAUAAGGUCUUGGAAAUAUUCAUUGUCAUAUAAAAUAUAUUGAAUUGUGUUUGAAUAAUAUGCUAUUUAAUGUUUGUGGGUGUUGUUUCCUUAGCCAAACUAUCUCAAAUGACUUUUUUCUCCUUUAAAAUUUUGUUUUAGCAACAAGGAAAGGAGUUGAGAAAACUCAAAGCGGAACUUAAACUCAAACCUGCACAUAAGAAGAAAUAAGCAAUGUGGCUGGGUGAACUUGCUCCCAUUGGUAAGUUUUACAACAAAGAAAGAUCUCUACUUUCAUUUUGAGUUGCCUAAUUGCAUUGCUCAAUGAAUUUAUUUUUGCUAUCAUUUUCUUGUGGGCUCUAUGCAAUGUGAUUCAAAAGAAGCUUUUCUCCUCUUUUGGAGCUUUAUGAAAUUGUCACAUUAACAGGAUCUGCCACUUUUAUAAUAGACAUUCGUUAAUGAGUUUUUUUUAUUUUUUAUCUACUUGUGCGGAAGUGACUCAUGAAAGUUCAAUUCAAAGGUUUUAAAGGCUUUGGGCAUGCAUAUGAUGCAUUCCCGUGUACAGUGUAGAUCCAACACAUUAAGUUACAGUUAAAUACUUGCAUCAUUCGUCGUCGUUUCCUUGAGUAGGAGAAACUCUAAAAUCAUGUGUAUGCAUAUUCUGUUUAGUCUGUAUCAUCUCUCUCUCUCUCUUUGAGUUCAGUCUAUUUACGCAAUCCUUUUUUCCUCCCCCAUUUUUAUUAGAAAGGUGAUGAAAGAACUGAUAUGGUUGGGCUGUAAUUCAAGGAUCGGGCAGUAUCAUGGUUGCGCAGGUGCAAGUCUUUUGUUCAGGACCGGUUUCCGGCUGUUGUGAAUCUCAUGUGAAGUUUUUGGCGGUAGGAAAUAACUGGACGGUCUGCUUCAUAUGAGCAUCAUCACCGAAGAAAAGUGUAAAUUCCUUUGUAUCAUCUUCAGAUAGUGAAUGCCGUUGUUUGUACGGUUAAUGUUUAGGUUGAACAAGUGCUUUAUCCCAGUCGAAAAAUUAACAGCCCUAAGUUCUUGUCUACUCUUUCUUAAACUCGAUUUACCAAUGAGAAGUUUCUCUUGGUGGGGUAACUGGUAGAAUUCACUCUUUCUAUGGGAGAAGUAAGGGGAUGGCAAGUGUCUGUUCUAAAUUAAUCACGUUUUGUCAUGUGAGAAAGUUGGAACAAAUGAUGACUGAGGUCGAGGGAUAGGUUUGAUGCAUUGCCACUUUGGCAUGGGGUUUGUUGUUGAAUUUCGGUAUUUUAUCCAAUUAAUUAAGGAUAAAAAGGCCUAGCCCUGUUUUCCAAAAAAAAAAAAAAAAAAAAAAAAAGGCCUUGCCCUUCGCUUUUAAUUUCUAAUCAAUGGCUAGAUAUUCAAAUUUGUAUCUUAUUCCAUGGAUGGUGUGGGGAUGUAUGAUACUUUUCUAAUGGAUUUGACAUUUCUCCCAGCAAAAGCAAGAAAAGUGUUGAACCAUUGAAAAAAGUUGAUUUACUUUUUCGGUUCUUAAAAUUUAAACUCAUUUAAUAAUAAUUGUAGAAUGAUGAGUAUUACUAUCACUUAAGACGGUAAGCAAGAAUGUUUCGUAAAACACAUUUUAAAAUUAUAGAUUCUAUUAACGGGGUAAUUAGUAACACCUGACAACGGUACAAAAAGAAAAGUUUUUGUUGGAGGUGAUCAAAAUUUCAAAUUGCCAUUAAGAGCUCUUCUCGUGGUGGCCACAAUAAUAUCUCCUUUUACCGAAUUCACCCCAACCGAACGUUUAUUCCAUUUCACACCAAGUAAUUUUUUUUAUUUUGCUUUUUCAAAUGAAGCAAGUAAUUAGGUUGGUAAUUAUCUGGUUACCUACUCAAUUUUUGACUGAUUCACCACUUAAUUCACUAAUCAACAAGUACGACGCCGUUUCAGCUGCCUCAAAAAAUGUAACCGUUACUUUAAAAAAUCAUAAUUAGGGACACCGAGUAAUCAAAGCGCGCGAGUAGACGUUAAUUCCUCCGUUCCGUGCGAGUACACAAAAAAAGUCACUCCCUCUCUCUCUCUCUCCUCUUUCUCUGCUUUCUCUCCCCUCUCUCUCUGCUCUGUCUGCUCACUUCUGCACCUGUUUUGGCAGCACUCACUCUCUUUUCAUUUCACUUCAUUGUCCUCCUCCUCCAUUGAAACCCUCUCCUCUCUCAAAAGUGAAAACCAAAAAAGCCCCCGUCUUUGCUCUCAAAUCUCUCUGACUUACCAGAGCUCCCAAAACCCAGCUCCGACAAGCUUCGCUCUGCCAUUUCCAUGGAAGCGGCGCCGUUUUAGCCGCACCCAGAAGCUCCAAACCCAAAGCUCACAUCUUCUUUUUGUAUUUUUUUUCAACCCAUUGCUCUUAAAUGUCAAAAAGUACACAACUUUAAGGAGUUUUUAGUCGUUUUUUCAAGACACCCACGAAAAAUGGGGUGCGCCCAAUCGAGAAUCGAAAACGAGGAAUCCGUGUUGCGAUGCAAGGACCGCCGGAACCUGAUGAAAGAGGCGGUGGUGGCCAGGAACGCCUUCGCUUCCGGCCAUUCUGGCUACGCCGUGGCCUUGAAGAACGCCGGUGCCGCGUUGAGUGAUUACGGCCAUGGAGAAACCCAAGUGACCCCGGAGAUGGAAAUCCUUCACAGCCAACAUCAGCCGAUGGACCCCGCAUCUGAGCCGCCGCCGCCUCCGCCGCCCCAUCUCGAGAACCUGAACCUUCCGCCGCCUCCGCCGCCUCUGCCCACUUUCACUCCAAGCCCGAUCAAGCGGGCCACCAGCAUGCCAGUGAUGAGCUCUGAGGCUCGGAAAAUGGGGGGUCGGAGAGUUGGGCUGGCCAUUGCGGAGGAGGAUGAGGAAGAAGAGGACCAUGAACAUGAUGAUGAGGAUGAGAGCCAUAAAGGUUUUCAGAGGAGAUCGAGAAAUGGGGCUUCGGAGACGACAUCGUCGCCGCCGAGGACGCCGGAGAUGAAGGCGGUGCCUCCGAUGCCGGAGUCGAAGGGCAUGGCUUGGGACUAUUUCUUUAUGGUGGAUAACAUGCCGGGACCAUCUUUGAGUGAGAAUGAAGAGGCUGAGGAAUUUGGUGAAGAUGAGAAUAUGGGGGUUGGCGGCGGCGGCGGCGUUGAUUUGGCUGAUGAGGUUGAGCCCAAGACUCCGGAGAAGGUGGAGGAGAUUGAGGAGAAGGCGGAAGAGGAAACUCCGGUGGCAAUCGAGCAUUCGAAAACUGCGCCACCGGAGUUUAGCAGGAGAGUAGCUAAUGUGAUUCCUGGUGUGACUUUGAUGGACAUAUUGAAUAAGAUUGACGAUCAUUUCUUGAAGGCCUCGGAGAGUGCUCAGGAGGUUUCGAAGAUGCUCGAGGCCACUCGGUUGCACUAUCACUCGAAUUUCGCAGAUAAUCGAGGUAUACGAGUUCUAUGAAUUCCCUUUAAGCCAAGUUCUUUAUAUGAAUUCCCUUUAGGUGUAAUGUAAUGGUUAAGUUGGUAUUGAAGUUUGAAAGAGACCUUAUUUUCUUCUCAAAAGCUUUCAAAAAUGUCUACAAAUUGUCCUAUAAAAAACAUGUGGGCAAACAUCUUGACUUCACUCGGGCUUUAAGCCUUUAAAUAUCAAAAUGAUAAAUCUUUGGUUUUCAAAUUACUUUUUGUUGAUCUGAUCUCAACCUUAGAUAUUUACACUUUCAAAAAAAUUAAAGUGAGAAAAAGCACCUUGUAUAAGCACUUUGUAUAAGCACUUUGCCCAUAUGUUGCCUCUUGUGACAUCUAAAACUAAUUCCUCUUUAGUUGUCGGUAUUUACCCUUUUCUGUUUAAAGGUUGAUGCUUUGAAUCUUCCUGUUCCAGGACUUGGAAAUCGUUAAACUAGUUUCGGAAACCACUAUGUGAAUGGCCGUUCUACCGAAAACAUCUUUUGAAUUUUAAAUAUUGUUGUCAUUUGUUUUUGUGAGAUAUCUUUUGAAUCGUUUGUUGGAUGCGGUACUGAUUCUCGUGAUGUUGUGCAGGACACAUUGAUCACUCUGCAAGGGUCAUGCGUGUUAUUACGUGGAAUAAGUCUUUCAGAGGCAUGCCAAACGGUGAUGGGAAGGAUGAAAACUCAGAAGAUUAUGAAACUCAUGCCACUGUUUUGGAUAAGAUGUUGGCAUGGGAAAAGAAACUUUAUGAUGAAGUGAAGGUAUAUUGCAUUAGUUUGUUUCAUUUUAUUUGUUUGCUGCUUUUCAUCUUGAUUCACUAGUGUCAUUCCACAUCAUGAACACUGUUCGUGGUGGCGGUCCUUUUUGUAUUUGGAUUGUUGAUAUCACAAAAAGUACACAUCCUCUACUUGGUUAAUCGGGAGAAUAAUAUUCCAGCACAAAAAUGUAUCUUCCUACUUAUUUUUUUUCUUACACUGAACCUUUUCUUUUUUUUUGAUCCUACUUUGUGUUGAUAGCAAGGGGAGCUUAUGAAGGUCGAGUAUCAGAGAAAAGUUGCGGUGCUGAAUAAGCAGAAGAAACGCAGUGCUAGUGCUGAAACAUUGGAAAAAACAAAAGCAGCUGUAAGUCAUUUGCAUACAAGAUACAUAGUUGACAUGCAGUCCAUGGAUUCUACAGCUUCAGAAGUAAAUCAAUUACGGGAUGAGCAGCUGUACCCUAAACUUGUUUCUCUAGCUGAUGGGUAAGUUUGUGCAUUGAGAAUUCUUGCUAUUUCUUUGUUUCGUUCUUGUUGCCCCUAGUGUCUUCUUGAUUGCUCAGACUAUCCUUAUUCUGUCUUAAAAUCAUUUGGCAUGUGUCUAAAAAGCACCAUUUUUAUCGGUGGAAAAUUUGAACUGAUGGUUUCCGCUUCUGUAAGGUUAUGUGCUGAAUUUUGUGGAAGUUAUUGCUUCCUUCGUAGUUGAUGUCCCCAUUUGUUUAUUGUGCUAUUGAGAAAAGGUUUCCUCUGCAAAUAUAUUCAUCACAUCUGCAUCACAGGAUGGCAAAAAUGUGGGAGAACAUGUGCACACAUCACGGCAGCCAGUUGAAGAUUGUUACAGACCUAAAGUCCCUAGACAUUCCCCAUACUCCGAUGGAAACAACCAAGCACCACCAUGACCGCACUGUCCAGCUUUGGAAUGUUCUCCAAGAAUGGCAUUCUCACUUUGAAAAGCUUGUGACUCAUCAAAAACAAUACAUCCAAGCUCUUAAUAGUUGGUUGAAGCUAAAUCUCAUACCUAUCGAGAGCAGCUUAAAAGAGAAAAUCUCAUCCCCGCCAAGAGUUCAGCGUCCACCAAUCCAAGCUCUCCUCCAUUCAUGGCACGAUUCUCUUGAAAAGCUUCCUGAUGAACUCGCAAAAUCUGCAAUAUCGUCCUUUGCGGCUGUGAUAAAGACCAUCAUACUUAAUCAGGAGGAAGAGAUGAAGCUAAAAGAGAAGUUUGAGGAGACACGGAAGGAGUUUCUGCGUAAAAGUCAGGCCUUCGAAGACUGGUACCAAAAGUACGCGCAAAGACACGCGGAAAUGGAUCAGGAGAGAGGUGAAGAUGCAAUUCCCAAGGAUCCGGUCUCAGAGAAGAAAUUCAUUGUUGAGAGCUUGAAGAAGAGAAUGGAAGAGGAAUACGAAGCUCACCAGAGACACUGUAUCCAGGUGAGGGAGAAGUCACUUGGGAGUCUCAAAACUCGCCUGCCUGAGAUCUUCCGCUCCAUGACAGACUACGCUAAUGCCUGUUCCGAGGCUUAUGGAAAACUGAGGUCCACCACAGAGGCACAAGUAUGAAAUGGUGAUGUCCUAAUAUGCGUAUGAUUUGUUUUGCUAGGAAGUAGGAGGCUUUUGUACUGUUUUGUAUGCGGAAAACUUGUUUCGGUUAGUGAUAUCUUUGUCCUCUGGAAAUUUUGCUGAAACAUGCAAAUCAUGCACAGGAGGCAAUGAAGUUGUGACUCGAGGGAAAUUUCAUGCGACUUGUUGGGCUUGUUCUUUUUCCUGAUGGAUUUAAUAUUAGCAUUACAAAAUAGUUAUAUUUUGCUCUUUGGCGGGUAUUUUUUAACAACAGUGUUGAUAUGUUUGGAGUGUCGAUAAUAGUUUUUUUUUUUUUUUUGGGUAAAAAUGAGUUGAUUUUGUGUACGGUAGCAUUUACACAAAUGGUGAGCCGAAAUCGCGAAUGAUUUUUACAUGCAGUUUAGAUUCUCUCGUGUCAUCAUAACGACUUCUUAAUAGACGGACAUUGCAUUUUUUUUCAACACGUGGCAAUUGAUUACUGGACGGUGACGUUACAUAGACUAAAACCUAAUUCCAUAACCCGUUUAAUAAAUAAUCAUGGUAUAAUAAAUCAUGACAUGGGAUAAUCUCAUUUUUAUGGGAGAAUGUGCACUGGGGCGGCCCUACGCAGAAAUUUCUGGAGGCAGAUUGUAUGUGUCAUUUCUAUUCUCUUUUAUUUUGUGCGGUCACGGUUAAGUUACGUUAAUAUUUUAUAUUAAUUUUUUUUAUAAAGAUAAUAAGAUAAAAAACAAUAAGAAUAUAAAAUGUUGACGUAACUUAAUCGUGACCUCAUAAAUAGAAAAAAAUAAAAUGAACAUCCAAACAAGAGGGCAGGCAAUCUGCCUACGAAAUUUCUUGGUGAAAUACAGAAUCUAUCAAAAGCAAUCUCUGUGGAUGACCGAGUGACAUUGUCAGCCAACGUGCGUGCCAAAAUUAGAGAGAGAAAAAUGUCGUCAAAUUAUUGAGAAUAUACGACAAAACAAACCUGCUAAAGUGAUUGACUGAGGAUCUGGGAUGCUUUGGCAUAAUUAAUACGAUAUGUCAUGUGACAUUUUCGACACAAAAACGAAGAAACAUUAUUCUUUGGCUCUGAUUAAUUUAAUCUCAACGUAAAAUGUUCUUGUAUUUAUGUUUUUGUUUUGUUAGACUACAUUUUAAGCGAGCAUAUUUGGUAAUCGCUCGAUUACCAAUUACGAACAUUGUUUUUGACACAAGUGAUAGUUGAGAAUGAAGAAUCAAACUUUAAGAUAGAGAUUAAGAAAAUUUUUGGUUUUAGUCACGUCGCAAGCGUCUUAUGAUCCAAAAAUAUAUUCGAAGAAUUUUGACGGAGGAAUGGGAUGGAUGGAGCCGGAUAACUUGUUCCGGUUUUUCUAAGCUCGUUUUGCUAAUCAUGUUCAUUAUUACAUGUAAAAUGAUUGAAUUUGGCCAAAAUUUAGUCUUUGGACCUUACAAGGAGAAAAACUUUCAUACAUUGAGUACGUCACGAUUACAGUAUUCUAAAUCAAUCAAACAUUGUUAUGUGUUUUAACUUCUUUACGUGGUAGUGCAUGAUUGAUUUAAGAUACCGUCACAGUGACAUUCUGGUGUAGCUAUGUAUAUAAGUUUCGCUCACAUGGAAGGGAAAAACACAAGACUAAAAGAGAGAACCUCGAGUGUUUUGAGUUUCAACCUUUUAUAUCUAUAUUUCGUACAGUUUUCUGUGAUUACUUGGAUGUGUUAAGAAUAUCGAACUUAAUUUUCCACUUUGUUUGCACAGCCUUCCGAAAGAACAAAGCCAAAGUUGUCCACAUCCUAACCACAAACUGCAAUGUUAAAUGGGUGAUUAGGUUGUGGAUAGCUGAAGAAUUUGUUGAACCUAAUGACGGGGUCACACCAGAAGAAGUUGCAGAGGACUAUCUUACGGAAUUUACUGCGCGUAGCAUGCUGCAAAUUAUGCAAACGAAUGAAGAUGGAAGAGCAAAAACAUGUAAGAUGCAUGAUCUUACACCCGAGGUUGCUCUGUCGAUGUCAAGAAAGGAAAAAUUUGGUGCUGCAUUUGUUGGCAGAGAAGUAGCAAAGAAGUUGGAAUGCGUAGAUUGUCAAUUCAAAUAACUGCAGAAUUUAAUUCUUUUACUAGUAUGUCAAAGCUUCGGUUGCUUCUUGCCGAUCUUUGCCACAAACAUGUUGUAUGAGUUUAAGAAAUUGCCUUCUAGGUUCAAGUUGCUGACAAUUCUUGAUUUGGAGGACGUCCCAGUUGCUAGAGUCCCGAAUGAACUAGUGCACCUAUCCGAUUUGAGAUAUUUGAAUCUGAAGGAUACUCUGAUUGAGCAGCUUCCGGAAUCCAUAGAGUGCGAUUGGUAUGUGUUUAGAUAAUACAUGGGAUCAAAUUUUAGUAAGUUGAAGAAACUACAAGUUCCAUCACGCGUUGACUCAAAAGGACAGAUCAUUAUAGUCGUCUGGAAUAUGAUCCAACUUACAAGGAUAGGCAUUACAAAUGUAAAAAUGCAAGUGACGAGAUGCGGAGAUGUGGAAUUGAAGACAUUGCCAGAGUCUCGAUUUCUUUUUUCAACAUCGAAAACUGAAUUUGAGGCUUGUCCCACUGCAACUUAAAGAGUCCGUAAAAGGAGGCAUCACGAAAGCUUGUCUAGUAUACAUUGCAGAAGGCAUGGAAAUCAGGAAUGUGCUGCACCUUCGCACGACCCAUGCCUCCUUUUACGGACUCUAUAAGUUGCAGAAACUACAUAUCGAUCCUGGCUUUCUUAAUCUCGUCCUGCUAGCUGCAACAAACGGCUUAUAUAUUCAGACUUAUCUCUCUCUCUCUCUCUCUCUCUCUCUCUCUCUCUCUAUAUAUAUAUAUAUAUAUGGAAAGAAAAUCCAUGUAAAAUGGAUGCAUCUGGACAAUAAUUCAUGGAAAAUUGCUCUGUCAACUAGGUUUUUGGUGUUUGGAACUUAGCUUGUCAUCUCAAUGCAAGAAGAACAACUUUCGUGCAACAAGGAUGUCACUGUAACGGUAUUCCAAACCAACCAAACAUAAUUAUGUAACUUCUCCACAUGGUAGAAAAUCUUAUUGACUUGAGAAGUUGCCGCAGUGACAUCCUCAAUGUUGUAUGCUCGUCCCCAACGGAAGCAAAAACGCAAGUGCAAAAGGAGAAACCUUUGAGUGUUUCAACUUUAGGGUACGAAAUGUAUUAUUUCUUCAUAAAUAUUCAUAAGUGGCUAAUAAUGUAUCAAGUUGUGCUCAUUUAAGCACAAAAAUGAAGAGGGUUUGACAAGUAAUACAAUCUUGUUUCUCCUACGUCUUCACAACACAACACAAUUGAGCUCUGAAUAUGGAGAUUAAUUUUCUGUCUAAAAUCUUUGGCACGCGCGGCGGUUGCUGCUGGCGAUGCUUACUAAGAGGUUAUUGUGCCGGAUUCUGUCUCUUCUUCAACUCGUCUCCGGCCACAAGGAAGAACGCAGUGUGCCUGAAAAAGUUCAUCAUUUUGACCUUGGACUCUGCAUCAAUGUCUGGAGUGGUGUCCAGUGCUUGCUGCAUAUGAUGCAGCCACCUCUCCGCAGCUUCGUGCGUGACGGGAAAUGGACGGUGGCGUGCAAUCAGAGCAGGAUGGCCUGCCAAUUUCCAAUUACAACAUAAGGACUCAGAUUUGUAAUCAAAAUGUCACGGGCUGCAAUGCAAUGCAUUUGCUAAAUUUUAACCAGAGAUAUAUUCAAUGUAACAGUAAAAUCUCGUAACAUACUGGAUCGGACAAUAUAACGGUAAGCAGAGAAAUUAUUCAGUGUGUAGUGGCAGCAUAACAUACCAUGUCGUGUGGUGUUGCAAGUCCAUCCAAAUUAUAAUUUUCGAAAGGGAACUUUAACGAAAAACUUAUGGUACUGUUCAUCUUAACAAAAAACUACAUUUUUAAAAUAAAAAGUCAAUCCUGAUACUAUUCAUUUUACCCUUUAUUUUAUCAUUUUCGUUAAAACUAAAAAAUUUCAAGUUUUUUUCAUUAAUUUUCCCUUUUCGAACUAAAUCAAUUUAUGUAGUUGUGGGCAUCAAAUGCUAUGUAGCAUUGGAUGAGUUUUGUUUCUGGAAAUUCGUGUGUUAAGUAAACUAAAUCAAACUCGUUCAACGAUACAUAACAUGAUAUGACAAAUAACAGUAUUUCUAAAAUUGUGAAUUAUGAAUACUAAAUUUAUCAUACGACACAUAAGAAUGUCACGUAAAGUUACCGUCACACACAAUAAUAAUGUUACGGACUUAAAUUCGGGCCUCCAUAGCACAAACCAAAUGCAAAUUUGGACUAUAAAAUGGAAAUACCAAAAAAAAAUUCCCACACACAUACCUCUUCUCUGUGAGAAGAGAUUUGGGCCUCCCAUUCUCUGCACGAAAAACUCGUACUGGUUCUGAAUGGCGUCUUCCUUCUUCGAAUUGGCGAAAAUCGACCGGAACCACUCCUGUUCGUCAUCGUACACCCUGCCGAUCAAGGGCAUAAUCGUAAAUUCACUACCAAUCCAAUCCAAUUCAGCAUAUGAUACGAUGAGAUCGAUGAAGACUGAAGAAAGACGAACCAGAGAACGAACCUGGUGUAGAAAUUGGUGGAGAGGUUGAUGAAGGCCUGGAGGCCGAGUUUCUGAAACAGGUUUGUCUCGUCGAUGGCGAACGCGUCGGCCGAGUCGACGCCGCUCCACUCGGCGGCCUUGGCUUGCAGGCUCUGCAUUCUUUUGCUCACUGGUUGGUGGCGGAGUCCGCGUGCUUGUUCGAGGAAGUGUGAGUUUGGAGAUUUGUGAGGAAGCUGUUUAGUUUAUACAGGGGACUCGUGCCGCCCGCGUGGAUUGCACGCUGCCGGAUUUGAUUUGCUGACCAAUGGGAAGUCGAGGGUCUCGAAACUAUGGGCAAUGGUGGAUUUGACACGUUGGUCCCCUUUGUCCUCUUUUAUUCUUUAUGUGACACUAUGAGCUAAUUAUGUUGUCACUUACAAUUUGCGUACAAAUACAAAAUACCCUUUCUUUUUCAAAAGGAAAAAACAGAAAUAUCCUAUGAUCCCAAUUCGAACAUAAUAAUCAUUUGAUCGGUUGUAAAGGAGAUAUAUAAUGCAAAAUUGUGGAGAAUUUUUUUGGUUCCCGGUACUUGUGGGGAACAUUACCUGGACAAAUGCCGGAAACUUUGAAAAAUCUCUCCAAAUUGUAAGCAUAAACAACAAGACACACAAUAUUGAUCUGAUAGUUUAUAUUCUAUCCGUUUAUAUUUAGUUUAUUAAAAUGUAAAUGCAUUUUUUAUAAUAAAGUGAAACUGAAUUGACAACUUCAUAUGGCGAUGUGGCAAAGGAAGAUAUAUUUGGACAAAAGAAUCUUUUAAGGAUCAAGGAACGAAAAUGAAAUUACAAGGAACGAAAAUGAAAUUACAUUUGUAACAUGCGUCUGUUACAUUUUUUGGUUUCAUUAUUGUCUAUUUUUUAGUUUCAGUAGAUAAAAUGAACACAGAUUGAAAAGGAUUACAAUGAUAAAUCAAAUAGCUAAGGAUGAUGGUAGAAACUUGAAAGGCUCCUGCGCAUUAAAACAUAAAAUUCAAAGAUUGAGAUUUGAUGUAAGAGAAUUGUUAUUAGCACUCAAAAGUCUCAUUUGACAUUCUAAUCUUUCUAUAAUUAAAAAAAAAUAUACUUGAGAAGUUUGUAGAAUGAAAUUUUUAAAAUGAUAAUCUCUAAUUUAAUGGUUCGAAAAAAAUAAAGAGCAUUAAAAAUAUUACGAAUCUUGAAAUAACGAUGUGAGAUGGGUCCGAACAUGGUGUGAGGUUUAAGAUGGGCCUAAUUGGGCUUUAGAUCAGUAAAUGGGAAAUGUUAAAGGCAAGAAAAAUGGCGGCGCGACUAAUCUUAUCUUUAAACCGCCAAUCUCCACCGUCGCAUACAAAGCAAAAAGGCGCAGACUGUAACAUCCUUAUGUAACUAACAUUUAACAAACCCUAACCUCCUCCGUCGGUACGGUGCCUGUUAGCUGCUAAUCUCUCUCCGUUUCUUUCUCCAGUAACCGAUUCCUCCGAGCUUCGUCUCAGAAACCAUAGAAAAUUUCCCAAAUUUUUGUUGUGAGAAUUUUGGUUGCUGACGGCCGGGGAUCGAACUUGAUUCAGAUGGUGUCGACGGUGGGAGUAGAGACUAGGAUGGAGAACUCGCAGAAUCGAAUCAGGAAGCGGCCGAGGUCGGCGUGGGACGUCGGCCCAUCGCAAUCGGAACCGGAGGUUGGUUUUGGGCUAUUCAUUUGUUAGGGUUAGGGUUUCCAAAUGAGAAGAAACGACAAGAUUGGGGCUUUUUUGUGCGGCAUGUGGAUUUAGGGUUUGCAGUGAUUAAUGGUAAUCGGACAGGGAUGAAAAUGGUUGAUGGAUGCAUCUUGUUUUUGUAGGCGCAACGGGCUGUGAUGGCAUGUAAUGAAGGGAAUGGAAGGCGUGGAUCGCCUCCUAAACGAGACGAUGAUCGGGAAGGGCAUUAUAUUUACAAUCUCGGCGAGAAUCUCACUUCAAGAUGUGAGUUUUUCCUGAAAAUUUAGCGCAUUGUUCUUGUUUUUUGUUAAUUACAUGCUUUUAUCGGGUAAUGAUGUUGUUUCGGGGUUGUUUACGUUGAUUUGGCAGAUAAAAUACUUAACAAGAUGGGUGAAGGUUAGAUGUCAAGUGUCCUGCUGUCUACAAGAUUUUAUUUUUUUUGUCAUUCUGCUUGUGUCAUUCAGCAUAUUGCUAGUGCUGUAGGCACAUUUGGCCGAGUUUUGGAAUGUUGGGACCGUCAAACACGAGAGUAUGUGGCAAUCAAGGUAGUUCGAAGCAUACGAAAAUAUCGGGAAGCAGCAAUGAUUGAGGUUGAUGUGCUUGAACAGCUUGCUAAGCAUGAUAAGGGCAACUCACGGUACAUGUCUUCUGGGUUUAGCUAAUAGAAUUGCUGGUUCAAUCAUUGUGAUGUCGUCUAACUUCGAGCAUGUUAAUACAUUGAUGCAGCUGUGUGCAGAUUCGCACUUGGUUUGAUUACCGCAAUCACAUUUGCAUUGUAAGUAUCCCAAUUAAAUUCCUUCAUGUUACUCUUUUGCUCCAUUAUGUUGUACUCUUUUACUGUUUUCUGCUUGCUGUUGUGAAUCUGUGUAAUAUUUUUUCAACCAUGCUGGUUAUUUUCCUACAAGUAGUUUAGAUGAUCGAUUCUCACAUGCAUGUAAUACCAAUCGAGCUUUCAGAUUGACUUACAGUUUGAUAUUAGUAUGUCCAUGGACUUUAUUUAUAGAACUGGGAACUAAACAGAAACCUUCAUUUGGAUGAAUUUAAUGGUUUCUCAGGUGUUUGAGAAGCUUGGACCAAGCUUAUUUGAUUUUAUAAAGAGAAAUAAAUACUGCCCAUUCCCUGUGGAUCUUGUUCGGGAAUUUGGACGACAGCUUUUGGAAUCUGUAGCAUGUGUGUGGAUAGUUCUUAGUCUCAUUCUCUUUUUUAUUUUUAUUGUAACCAGUCACACAAAUCUGUUUAUUGGCCUCUUGUCUUUGUCCAUGGCUGUAACAGGGUGUUUUAAUUCAGUCCUUUUGUUUUUAACUUACAAUUUUUCUUCAAUAUUUCCAACAGAUAUGCAUGACUUACGCUUAAUUCACACUGACCUGAAGCCAGAAAAUAUUCUUCUUGUGUCCUCUGAAUAUGUAAAGCUUCCUGGUUCUAAGGUAUCUUGGACUUUUACAAUUUAAAGUUCAUGCCUUGUUUCAUAUUUGGGUACAGACUCAGUUAAUAAAAGUGCUUGAAAAUGGUACAGAGGUUUUCUUCAGAUGAAACGAAUUACAGGUGCUUGCCCAAGUCUAGUGCCAUUAAGCUGAUUGAUUUUGGUAGUACAGUGUCUGAUGAUCAGAACCAUAGCUCCAUUGUUUCUACCAGGCAUUACAGAGCCCCUGAGAUUAUUCUAGGUAACUAAUUACGGUGCUGGCCAGCCAAAAUGUGAUAUCAUUUCCUUUUUUAUUCACCUUCUGUUCCCAUCUUCACUGAAACCAUACUAAGCAAUAUGGUGUUGAUGAAAAGGACUAUCUUACUGGUGAUUUAGAAAAGUACUUGAGGCUGGUACAUCUAUAAACAAGUUUUUUCAAAGGGAGUGUUUAACAGAGUCAUAGAAGGUCAUUGUGGUGCAUUAGUCACGUUUUUUUAUGCUGGAUCCCCCAACAUGGUCAAUAAGAACACAUAAUAAGGGCAUGUUACAGUAUGGCAUUGAUGGAGACUUAUAACAAUCUUUAUUAGCUUUUACCGUAGUGGUGUGGUUUCUUCUCUUUAUUAAGAUGCAUCCGUAGCAUAGGAUAUUCAUGUUUUUUAUCCUUCCCCUAAGCUCUUUCUUGGGUCUGUUUUGAAUUGAGUUUGGUGACAUUUCCAGCAUGGUCAUCCUUUACUUGUCCUGGUUCUGCAGAGUGUAAUCGUUUUUUGUGUGUUGGUUUGUAAAGAUUAUAGCUGUUUUUACCAGCUAUUUGUUAACCUAAUUUUGUUUUUACUUUAUUCUCUCUUGUCAUUUUAAGUUAUUAUGGAAGUAGAGAAAAAAUCAUUAAGUUGUUUUUGGUAAUAAUUAUUCUGUUACAAUGAUCAAGCUUUAUCUUGCGUACAUCUCAGGUACUGACCAGUAAUAGUAUCUAUAUUGUUCUGAUCAUUGCUGUAUGUCUAUCUUGCAGGUCUAGGGUGGACUUACCCCUGUGAUCUGUGGAGUAUAGGGUGCAUUCUUAUUGAACUUUGUUCGGUUAGUCCUACAUUACUUUAUCCUGUUUCGAAUAUGGAUUCUUCUGGUCAGGAAUUUCUAAGAUGGGGAAUUUUGUCAGGGAGAGGCAUUAUUUCAGACGCACGAGAACUUGGAGCAUUUGGCAAUGAUGGAGAGGAUAUUGGGACCUCUGCCGCAACAUAUGACCCAAAAGGCCAAGUAUGUAUUGAAAUAUACUGAUUCUGGCUAUUUUUUUUUACUAGAACAUGGUUGAACAAGUUUUGUAUUGGAUCUAGAGCACUUUUGAGUUUUGAUUAUUUUAUUGAACUAGAAAUUGGAUGAGAUAAUUUUAUUCAGUUUUUAUCCAUGUGUAGCCAUGGUGCUGAAAAGUAUUUUAGGCGGGGUGCACGACUGAAUUGGCCUUUAGGAGCAGUUUCAAGGGAGAGCAUUAGAGCUGUAAAGAAGCUCGACUGUUUAAAGGUUUUUACCUUUUUCCUCUCUAUUUUCGGUUCCAAAAAAUAUUUACAUGAUUUGAUAACUUGUGGAAUUUCUUGAUUUGUUAGUUGAUAUGGUGCCAUUUAUUUUGUAUACAGGAUCUGAUAUUGCGACUUGUAGGGUCGUCGAAAGCUAGUUCCUACCUGACUGAUUUGUUGUAUGGGUUGCUGAAAUACGAUCCGUCUGAACGCCUCACGGCUCGACAGGCACUUGAUCACCCCUUCUUCAAGAUUCCAACCUGAGGAACCCCAUCGCGAGAUAUAAUUAGUUUCCCUAUGUUAGGAUUCGAAGAAAGCAAAGCUAGCUCAUCUAACGAUGGCGAGAGAGGGAGGGAGGGAGGGAGGGAGGGAGGGAGAGAGAGAGAGCUCAAAUAGUAAGUUGAGCUUCACUUGUAUAUGUACAAAUAGUUUAGUGGCCUCAUCUAUGAAAUACUGAACUUUUCCCUUACCCGUUUUGAAUUAGUCUUGGUGAUUCUAAAAUGCAUGGAGUUUUCGUACUUUUUAGGUGCGCUUUGCCUCAUAUUUUCACUCCUUUUUACCUCUUGCAUUCCGCUCUUAAUUUUGUCCCGUGAUUUUCCUUGAUCUAUUAUAUUUGACGGCCAGAAGGUCAGAAAUAAAACUGCUAUAAUCGCUUUUUUUUUUUUUUUUUAUCACCCACAAUUUAUUAUCUCACACAAGUACACAACACUGCCA
This 56745-nucleotide long non-coding RNA is filed under the name Malus domestica (apple). Its description in RNAcentral is "long non-coding RNA (MDOM_LNC014502)". The record is from RNAcentral. Lineage: Eukaryota; Viridiplantae; Streptophyta; Magnoliopsida; Rosales; Rosaceae.